UUAAUUUUUCAUUUCAUUUUAAAUUUUUUAACCAUUAUUUAUUAAAUCACUCCAAAUACAUAAAAAAAAUAAAUGAAUAACUAAUAUUUGAGGGUUUAAUAAAUCAUUAUGUAUUUAAUUAAAGGAUAUCAAUUCAAUUGGAAUUUUAUUAAAAUAUUAUUUUAUAUGCAAAUUAAUUAAUACUAAUAUGAAAGUAUUUUUUAUUUUUCAUAUUUUUUAAUAAAAUAAUACUAUAAUAAAAUUUAAAUUUGAACAUAUGCAUAUCCAACACUUUUAACUUUAUCAUUUUAACUAUAAUUUUUAUAUCAAUAACUUUGUCAAUCACCUCUCGUUGGUGGUUGGUCAUUUUUCAUCCUCUUCCUUAGUUAUUUUUUUGCCCUCCUCUCAUUUUAGUAACUCCUUUUGGGGGCUCGUCUAAGCUUUAAUGCCUCGUCUCUAUUUCGGUGUGGGAUUUCUGGAUGCAGAUGUCCUCCGCUUUAGGUGAGAGUUUCUGCUGCAGCUACGAAUGAUGGAUGGGUGGUGGCACUAAAAACCCCAGAUGCUACUUUGUUGUUUUGUCUCCAGAUUCAAGAUGUUUGUUGCUUCAAUCCUAUUUGGUGGGUGAUCCGAGUUGGGUGUUGCUAGUGGCUAUUUUCGAUCUUUUCGAGGUGGUUGUGUGGUGUCUCUCGACUGGCAAUUGAGGAUGUUUGGCUUAGUCUUGUGCUCCAUUGUUUUCUCACUCACUUGUGAGCAAGGUCUUUAGUGAAAAUGGAGGCUCGAUAAUCGAGAAUAUACGCACUAAUUUUUUCAUUAGUGGCUGACACCAAAGUAACUAGUGAUGAUUCCUUUUUUUCUUUUUUCUUUUUUUGCUUUUAUGGGGUUUGACCGUUUAUGUUUGGGAUCAUGGUUAUUGGUACAAUUGGCUUUGGCUAUAUGCCAUGGUUGCUCUGUCUGUGAUGAUUGUUGUUCUAUGAAAUGGAACUUCUUGUUGUAUUCUAAUUUUGAUCUUAAUUAUAAAUAUUCAAAGAAAUAAAUAUAUUAAUUUAUUUUUAUAUUAAAUAACAAUAAUAAUAUGUAAAUAUAAAACGAUUAUAUUAAUAGCUUAUAACAAUAAUAUCAAACUAAAAUUUUAUAUAUAAAAUUUCAUAAAAUUAAAAUUAAUGUAUAAAAUUACAUAUUAUAUUAAAAUUUAUAUAUAAUUUAAGUUCCGUAAAAUAAUUUUGGAUAAAAAUUUUAAAAUUGUAUUGCCCAAAACUUUCAAAUUCAAACAAUUAAAUUUAGUGGCAAAUUGCCCAUCUUGUAACAAUUUUCUUUUUAAAUGAAAGAACAGCUCAAAGUUGAGAAGGAAAAGCAAACUCUCUGAACUCCAAAUAACAAAACUAAACGCAGGAAAAUCGUUACAACUUAAAAACUGAAAAAUUAAUAAUUCAUAUUUGAAUGAGGGUUGUCGAUGGAUGCUGCUUAAUUCUCGGCAACGUCAGCUCUUGCAUGCUCGAAAUUGUAACUUGCUACAGCCGUAAGCCACGCUCCCUUCUCCACCAUUUCCACUUUCCCUCUUUCUUUCUUCUUUUUCUCAUUUCGUUCUUUUCCCUCUCUAUAUCGUAUCAAAAAAAAAAUCUUAAUCGUCAAUAAUUGUCAGCUCAGGAGCUCAAACCACUGAUUUCACAAAGGAGGUUGAUUACCAGGUAUCAUCAUUUUCUUUUAAGUUUCGCUUAUAUUUUAAAUUCUGUUAUCGAUAAGCCGUUGUUCGAAAACGUCGCUGGUUAUUUAUUGUUUUAUGUUUGAUUUUUUUUAGGUUUGUCGUACAGCGACGGUCUUGAAAUGUGAUUUUGAGCUCUCUUUUUUUUCUUUCCUUUUUUCUUUUUUCGAGUUAGAGAUAGGUUUGCUUAUAUUCUUCCUUUGGAUCAACGGUCUGGAAUUUGUAGAAGAGGAAGGUAUUUGUUAUGAUUAGAUUUCUAACUAAAUUUUGGCAUUGGAUGGAAACUGAUAUUUUGUGAAUAAUUUGUACGUAAUUUUUGUGAAAAGGAUCUGCGAAUUUGCGGUGUUCUUUUUGUCACGGAUACAUAUGUGUUGGAUUUGGUUGAGAAAUUGGGUUGCAAGUUGAAGAUAGAUGUUGGGGAUUUGUGAAAGUAUUGCUGUCAAUUUUGAAGUUUAGCGUUUGAGGUGUAGGGAAUCCUAGAUUUUAACCGUGAGGUUCUGAAUGCUAGCUGAUACGAUGAAUGACUUAAUUAUGCAUUAUUGAUUGGUGGAUUGAAGUGAAAAAGAGUGGUCCAAGGAGCUAACACAUUGUUGUUAUGUAAGUAAACAAACCUAGGAACUUGUUUGGAACAUGAUCAGGGAAACGUCUGGCCCAUCUGAUCAAUUAGUACAACAAGAAUAUACAUAUGCUGUUCCUAAUGUUGGAAAGAAUGUAAAUAAUAAUAAGACUAUAUCUGUACAGACAGGUGAGGAAUUCUCCAUGGAGUUUGUUCAGGAGUGUGUUGGCACAAGAGCCAUUGCUAGACCAGAUGCAGCACUGACACAUGAGAAGAGGGUUUGGUUCAAUCAGAACCGCCAGAUGGGGUAUCAGGAUCUUGCCCGAAUUCAGUUGAAAAGAACGGAUUCCAAGUGUGCUUCUGACAUUUCUGAUUUUGCAUCUCUGAAUGGUUCUUCUAGAGGGAGUGAACAUGGGUCUUGUGUUGAAAAGAUAGGUAGAUACCAGAAGAAAGAUGGUGAAAUUGGACAAGUGACAGGGAAGGCUUAUGGUGAACUGAAUUGUGAUAGGAGCCAUCCAAAUGGUUUUGGACCACCUACUACAGCCAUUUAUGCAUGUGACUCUUCUAGUUCCGACAACUUUAGUGGGCAGGGAGCUACUGAUGGAUCUCAAUCUGGGAAAAUGAAACUUCUGUGCAGCUUUGGUGGAAAAAUAUUGCCUAGGCCAAGUGAUGGUAAACUCAGAUAUGUUGGGGGAGAGACGCACAUUAUUUCCAUUCAGGAUUGUCUUUCUUGGGAAGAGCUUCUGAGGAGAACUUCAAAUUUUUGCAACCAACCUCAUUCAAUCAAGUACCAACUUCCAGGUGAGGAUCUUGAUGCCCUUAUAUCUGUUUCUUCUGAUGAAGACCUUAAGAAUAUGAUAGAGGAAUACCAUGGGCUUGAAAAGCUUAAAGGUUCUAAAAAGCUGAGGAUAUUUUUGAUUCCCUAUGAUGAAUCUGGAAAUGCAUCUUCCCUUGAGGCAAUGACCAUGCACCAGAGCAAUCCUGAUUACCAGUAUGUGGCUGCUGUUAAUGGGACAGUAGAUCCUAGUCCUAGGAAAAUCUCUGGUGAGCUCUGCUUACCUAGUGAAGGAUGUCAAUUGGGACCCAAUUUGAAUCCUAACCCUAGUUUCCCCAAAUGGUGUCCAACUUCAGUAAUGUCUUUGGACACUAUGGGUGGUUUUAAUGCAUUGCAUCCAUCUCAGGUUUUCCUUGAUAUCCAAAAUACAACCAGAUCCCCAUCUACUCCUAUUUCUCCACUACCUUUCCAGCAUGAAGAAUGCAAUGUUUGUGCACAGUCAAUGUCUAAUAACUCCAGCUCUGAAUACAACUAUUCCUUCAAUACAGCACACUUGAAUCCUGAGAUCCGCAGCACUAUUAAUCCUAACUAUAAAGAUGCCCUACAGGUUCCACCUGCUUUGAUGAAUCAUAGUCACCCUUGCAUAAGGGUUGCUGCCAACCACACAUGCCAAGCUUAUGGAGGGCAGCUACUAAGCCCUGAUCCCAGCAAAGAUUCCGUAUUUUUUGUAGUUUUCAACAAAAGCAAUGGUGAUUACAAUGGCAUUUCACAUGAAAGGUUUAUGCACAAAGAAAGAUCAUUCCUUUCUGAAAAGCCCAUCUCAAAUGCUGGCAAUCCAUUAAGCCUGUUGUCAGGAUCUGUUGAUUCCCUGGAUUCUCACCCAGGUAUAUCACAUGCAUUUUCAGAUUCAAAGCUGCAGGACUGUGGAGGGAGGUCUGCUUACUGUUCACAAGAAGGAAUGAGCCCAUCUUCCCCUUUAAAUUUUGCAAAGAGCCCAUCACCUUCCCUUGUUUUUUCAAAUUCCAUGCAGGAAAGGUUGAUGCAACAGCAUGAUAAAAUUGAUCUUAUGACGUCCAGUGCAGAUAAUUACUUGUUGGACACUGAAUCUACGUCAAAAUCAAAACUGGAUAUGCAGAACUGCUUUCCAAACCCUGAACCUUCUGGCGUGAAUGAACCUAUUCACAAGGGAACCAGUGACUGUAAUGAAAAAUACCAAACAGCUAAAAUUGAUUUGAGUAAAUCCAGUUUUGUGAGGCUUGACAAUUAUGAAGAAUAUACUGCAAGCUUGGAUGCCAGGAACAUGUCUUAUAUAAGUGAUCCAUUUUUGCAUCAAGGUGGAAAACUUUAUGAGGGGAAAUCACCUGAUAGCAGUAUGGGAUAUAACAACAAAUUGUCUAAUGCAGACUGCAACCAAACAUCUGGUUUUGCUGUAGGUACUCAGGAAAAAGAUUCGCAAGUCUCUCAGAAGAUGGUUCCUUCAUCCUUAUCUAUAAAUAGUAACAUCAAACAUCUGCAAACCUUGGGAAAAACCACAUCUGAUAUAGCUGAAUCUUGUGGUUUCAAUGGGAAAGUAAUUGGACAGGGAGAUAUUACUUCAUGUGCCAGGAACACUGAAGCCACAUGCUUGUUUCCAAAGAGCAUAAAUGACACAAGACUUGAUAGUAAAUUGGGUGAUCUUAUCUCUGAGUCUUUGAAUGGCCCUAUGUUGCAUGAACCACCACAAUCUCAGUUUGUUGCAAGUCAAAAUGAUAUAUCUAAAGAAGAUAUGCUUAUGGGCUCAACGAAGUUGCACUCACCUACAAUUCAUGUUGACUCUGUUCUGUGCUCAAGCUUGCUCAAUGAAGACCUUCAUGCUAUGUCACAAAUUUCAGACAAUAAUGCAGCUAGGAAAGAGGUUCCCCUCAUUGAUGAUGAACUUAAUUAUUCCAAUCCAAAUGCUGAGAAGGUGGUCCUCCUAGAUCCCUUGCACAAGAAUUCAAUUGUAGAAGAUAUUACGUUUUCUCUAACUGAACCUUCAAGAAAGAAUCAAUAUCAAAUCCAACCGGAGCCCAUAGUUAUGUCAAAAGAUGUUACCACUAGUGUUCUUUCCGGGAUGCUAGUUUCAUCUGCAGUUGUCCCACAUGUGGAUGUGAUCAGCACUGAUAUCAUAUCUCCUACUGGAACAGAGUUGGAGGAUGCCAUUGCAGAUUCUGAGUCUAAGGUAAGAUUUGUUAAAUUUAUCAUGUAAAUCUAGUUUUUAUAAUGUGUACCACUGCUAGUAGACUCAGGUAGCUUCAUGGCUUUGUUCAUAGGAUUCUUCAGCUGAUGUUCAAGACAAGGAUGAGUCCUUCAGUGAUGCUGUCAUAGCUGAAAAGGAAGCCAACAUCUAUGGCUUGCAGGUUCUGCAUGAAACUUAUUUAUACCUGUUUUCAGUUUAAAAAGUUGAUAUUUGACCAGUUCAUUCAGUGUUGUUUAGUGAGAAGUGUAAUAAAAUUUUGAAAAGCAAGUGUAAUUCUCUAGUUGUUAGGCGGAAAAAACAUUUUGUUUUUCUUAAUAAGGUUCCAUUUAGUUAAUCUACAUUGAAAUCUUUACAAAAAUUAAUAUCCUUCAUUUGGUAGAACAUUGAAACAAAAUUGGGGAAUUGACAAAAGAACAUUACACAUGAAAUGAAAAUUAGAAAAAAUCAAGGGUAUGCUAAUGUUUUUCUUCUUGGAAAUAUGAUUUAAAACCAUUUCUUUUUCAAACUGGCUAUUGUGCCUAUUUAGUUCUAUUUUAAAAACUGCAUGUUACUCUUUUUUACUAUUCUCCUCUUUUAGAUUCAGAUAUGUAGCAGUUUGACAACAUUUAUUCAAAUAAUAAAAUUAUUUGUUAUCCACCCACAUACUGUGUGGAGGACUAAUUCUAAUCAUGUGUUGCUUAUGGCAUCUUCUUUACUGCACACAUGAAAGAGAUUCUACUUAAUUUAUGCAUCCGUUUAUAAUUUGAUCAUGUUUGUGUAGUUUUCCCUCUUCCUUUUUAUCUUUUCUCCAUCUCCUUACCUUGCCAUGACUUUUCAGUUCUUGUCUAUUUUCUAACUGUCUUUGUAAUUAGCCCUAACAACUGUCUUUUGUCCCUCUGAAAACCAAGAAUAUUGCUAUUAAUCUACUUUUAAUAUGGUUACCAGACUGAUGGUUAAUUGAUAGAAAAUUUGAUUCUAUGUCAACUUCUAGUCAUAUUUCCCUUGUAACCAGUAACUUUUUGGACUAAAUUACCACACCUGUAUCAGCCCCCUCCCCAUUUUAGUUUCCUCCUUGAAAGAUUAGCUUUUGAACGUUAAUGAAGGUUUUCUAAUUUUGAUGUGCAGAUUAUUAAAAAUGCCGAUCUUGAAGAACUGAGGGAGCUAGGAUCUGGUACAUAUGGAUCUGUUUACCAUGGAAAAUGGCGGGGAACAGAUGUUGCUAUAAAGAGAAUAAAAAAGAGUUGCUUUUCUGGGAAAUCAUCAGACCAGGACAAGCUGGUAGGUCUGCGGAGAUUUUUCCCUCUUUUUCCGCCCCUUUCUUUCCAGUUUCUAAUCCUAAAUAUAGUUGCUGGCUAGGUGGUAUGAAUUGUACACUGCAUUCCAGAAACAAGGAAAAGGUUUCAAAAUACUAUUAUUGUUAUGUCAUGGAAGUAAAUUCAUGGGGGUACCCUUUCUCUUCUUCCUUUUCGGCCUUCUUCUUGACUCCUUUUAAAGGGAAAUAUAUCCACUACUGUUAUUCUGCCCUUUGUGAUUUGAGAUUUGGUAAUCUGUUUUUUCUGUUUAUGGAGGGAUUUCAGCCCUCGAGUUAAAAGUAAUUUGCAGCAGCUUUGACAUGCAUCAAAAUCACAUAUGUUUAUCAAGGAAGAGUGUUGAUAUUUAUCACAAACGCAUGUUUUUAUAAAGAAAAAUUAGUCUGUGGGUUGCCAUAGUUGAUUCAAAAUUUGAGUAGAGGUCUUCAAAAGAAGAAAAGAAAAAGGGUUUUCCUUUUCUUUUUUCUUUUAAUCCUUUAAGAGUGGGGUUUGGUGCUUGAGUCAAUUGAAGUAAAUGUGAAAGAAAUAGCUGAGAAUUAUCCAAGACGCUCCACUUCGGUGGUCAUUUUGAACUGGGUCAUUAUUUCCCUGCUUUGCUUCUUUUUCUUUAAUCUUGAAAUAGCAAGCAAAAGGGGGGAUUACCACUGUAGUACUAUAGAGAUCUUUAAACAGUUUUGCAGUCAAAUUCUUCAUAGCAAUUUCAGUUAUUUGCAUGCCUGAAGCUAAUAUAUAUUUGGUUGUGCCAGACAAAAGACUUCUGGAGAGAAGCACAGAUCCUCUCAAAUCUGCUUCAUCCAAAUGUGGUAGCAUUUUAUGGAGUAGUACCAGAUGGAACUGGAGGAACUUUGGCAACUGUAACUGAAUUUAUGGUCAACGGAUCACUUAGAAAUGUCCUAAUCAAGAAGGAUGGGUAACCUAGGUUCAUCCUCUCAAAUUUAUAGUCCUUCCCUCAUUAAUGAUGUGCUUACUGGUUGUUUGGAAUUCUUAUGCAGAUCGCUUGAUUGUUGCAAAAAGCUUAUAAUCGCCAGGGAUGCAGCUUUUGGCAUGGAAUACUUGCACUCCAAAAACAUUGUCCAUUUUGAUCUGAAAUGUGAUAAUUUGCUUGUGAAUCUAAGGGACCCACAACGACCCAUAUGCAAGGUAAUAUUUACAAACUUGUCUCUAGUAGAUAUUGAGUUCAAGGUGGCUAACGUUAUUACUAAAGACCAUAAAUGGCUAGAGAGAAGAAUAAUUAAUUCUGAUUGAAGUGAAAGUGAUUGUUUUUGGUCCAAGAUGAAUGCCGAUAUGCUUGGGGACAGUAGCAUACCCUUAUCUUGUCAAGUUAGGAAGCUUGGUGAUGGGAGGUUUUCAUUGGCUGUUCAUUUGAAACAUGGUUACUGUGUAUUGUUUCUGUAGGUUGGAGAUUUUGGAUUAUCAAGAAUUAAGCGCAGCACUCUUGUUUCUGGAGGUGUGCGAGGAACCCUUCCAUGGAUGGCACCAGAGUUAUUAAAUGGUAACAGCAAUCGUGUUUCUGAGAAGGUCAGUGUGUGCUGCCACUGUGAAGGAAAGAACAAGCAUGUUAAAUGCCGAAAUUUAUGAUAUUUGAUUUGGCAGGUUGAUGUGUUCUCAUUUGGAAUUUCAAUGUGGGAAAUCUUGACUGAAGAGGAGCCUUAUGCUGAUAUGCAUUGUGGUGCCAUUAUUGGUAAGAUUUCAGUUUACCUAAUUUGCCAUUAGCUACGAUUUUAAGCAGAAAUUUUACAGGCAUGGAAAAAGUAAUUGGGAUGUUAUGACAUGGUAUUAGAUCCACUAUGGAGUGCAUAUUUUAGCUAAAAUGGUGUAUUGAAUUUUUGCCAUAUGUAUCUGAAAACUAAAGAAAAAGCUUCCUUUUUUCACUUAAAUUUGGCUUUACAUUCCAUUUGUAAAAUGUGAUUGCAGGGGGGAUUGUGAAGAACACUCUUCGACCUUCAAUUCCAGAACACUGUGACCCUGAUUGGAGGGAGCUGAUGGAACAGUGCUGGUCAGCUGAUCCUGAAUCUAGACCAUCAUUCACGGAGAUAACGAACAGGCUGCGAUCAAUGUCUAGGUUGCUUCAGCUCAAGGGACGUAAUGAUCAGGCAAGACAGACAAAAGCCUAAUGUUACAGCAUGAACAUGAUUAAACACCAAGCACCGGCUUGGUUUGUAUCAUCAUUAAAUGCCAAGCACCGGUUUUGUUUGUAUCUUCACCUGUAAACUUGGGUAACUCCGACCCCACCCUUCGAGGUAAGAGGAUUAAAUCAUUGAGGAUUAGGAUGAGGAUGAGUAGAGUUUAAUCAAUGAUGGGCAGAACUUCUUUCCCCUUCUCUCACUUCUGUUAAUAUAUAGCUCCAUUUGAUUAUUCGUUUUUUCUGACACAGUAAUUCAGGUCAUAGUGGUAAGGCAGAGAGAUAGCAUUUAAAAUAUUUUGAUGAUUGUUGAAAAUAGAAAGAUUAUAUGUAUGUACACACAUUCAGAAAAGGGGGAAAUGGCAUUUGAUUAGAGUUCAAUUUGAUAUAUCUAGACCUCAUAAUUUUACAUGGGAAAUAAUGACAAAUAUAUAUAUUCUUUAUAUGUGUUAAAUUUACAUAUAUGAUAAUAAUAUGCAGAAGUAGUGAAAUCUAGAUCUGUCUUACAAAAUUUACCAUAUCUCCAUUCAUUUUAUUAAUGAUAAUUCUAUUUGAAAGAGCUAAAUUAAAAGAGAAGGUAGUUUCCAUUUGUUCCGACUAUCAAUUGAGGAAAAAAUGUCAUUUUCAUAUUCUUUUUAUGAUUUAAUUUUAAAUUUCAGUCGCAUAUAAAUGUCAUUAUUUAUUUAUAUAAAUGAUUAAAUCGUUGAUAAAUGAUAAAUUUUAAUAAUGUUAGUUGAUCGGAUUAAUUUAUCGGUUUAGUUAAAAUAUGAAAAUUAAAUUAAGAAAUCUAACUUCAAAAAAAAUAGAGGAAUUCAUAAUUAAAGCUUUAUCUGCCUACGUCCUCGUAAUGCUUAUGGUGUCAAAAAAAUCUUUGACCUGUUGACGGUCAAUUCAAAAUUCAACGGAAAGACUUCUGGCGGCUUUUUGCUUUCUAGCUUUUUAUUAUUAUAAUAAAAUCAAAUAAAAGUAAAAUCACUAAGGGUCUGUUUGAUUGCAAGUAAAAUGUUUUCCGUAAAAUGAUUUCUGGAAAAUGUUUUACUUUUCUGUAAAAUGAUUUACUGAAAAAUAUUUUCUGGUGUUUGAUUGAAUCUGUGUAAAAUAUUUUCUGUUGUUUGGCAGAUUUCCUGAAAAUAUUUUCUGGAAAAGUUGUUUUUACAUAUAUUAAUAUAUAUUAAUAAAUUUUUAUAUCAAGCUAAUUAUAAUUGCAUUAAUAAUUUUUUGAGAAAUUAAACUACUUUCUGUGUCCAAUACUUCAACAAAUAUUAAUAUAUUUAUAAUUGGACGAAAAAAGAAUCACAUUAUAAGUUAUAAUUGGAAGAAAAAAGAAUAAUCGGAUAUUAAUGUUCUAAAAAAACUAAAGGAAUCACAUUAUAAGUUAUAAUUUUCAAUAUCAAAAUUUAUAGAGACCAAUUUAAAAUCUAGAUUAUAGAGACCAAUUUAAUAUCUAGAUUAUAGUUUGAGGAUGUACUAAUUGGAUUUUUCGUAAAAGAUUUUGAUAUCGAUUACUUGUAAAUAAAGAAAAACGAAUAAAUUCACAAAAAAAAGAUAGAAGAAAUAAUUAACAUUUAUGAGAUAGCAAUUAUUAUCAAAGAAGAUUGACUGUUAAAUCAUAAGAGUUGAAUUCUGUUAUGAUUUGCUAUAAAAGUAUAAUGUUCUAUACAUAUUUGAUGCAUUUUGUAUCACAUGAGUUGCUGAAAAAAUUUUCAUUUCUCAAGAUUUGACAUAAUAAUCAAUGCCAUUAACAUUGAAACCGGAAUCUAGAAUUUUAAACUUCUAAAAUUAACCCUAAACGAAAAUGUAUCCCAUAAGAAACAACACAAGCUUCAUAUAUAUAUAUAUGAAAAAACUCAAAGAAUAGACCAAAGUAAUGAACAAGGCUGAGAAGAGGCUCAAACUGUUGAGGAAGAAGCUUUAGUCCCUCAAGUUAGUGCCUAGUUUGGAAGAUUCAAAGCACUCUGCGGCAGUUUCUUAUAUUUCAUCCACAAGCAGUUCAGGUACCAAAAACCCAGAAAGAACAGCUUCCAAGUCUCAAAAUGCAGUUCCAAGAAUUUCAAAAAAUAUGGAGGAAAAUGCAUCAGACACCACUACAUCUAUACCAAGCUUUAAAAUCUCUUUCAACAGAGAAAAUUGUUUUUCUUCAUGUGAAAACUCCAGUUCUAAAUCGAGUCCAUAAAGAUCCAAAAGUUGAUGACACAAGGACAAGGUAAUAGAACACAAAGUGACAGAAUUUCUCUCGCGCAUUGAAACAUAAAUGGGGGAAUGCAGGUAAUAGAGCUAUGAUGCAGUAAAAUCCUUAUUAAAAAUUAAAAGUCUAAUAAUUCCAUGGGAACCUUACCAAAUACAGAUUUUAGAUUUCAACAUAUACAGAUUUCAGAAGCUCACUCUUCAGCAAAUAAAUCAUAUAGGACUUUAAUUAAGGACUUCAUAUAGGACUUCAGCAAAUGAAAAAUUUAUGAAAAAAUUAAGUAAUUAAAUGUAAUUAAUUACUAUUAAUAUGUUUUUCCACUCAGAAAACAUAUGUUUGAUAAUUAAAGAACAUAAUGAAAAAAAUAGAAUACGGACAAUGGUUUUGUGAUUCAACCUUGAGAACUUCCAAGUUUGGGCAACUUUGUAUUAACAAGCAGUGAUCUUCUGUGUCAAGUAAUGCAUAAAGGAGAUCCAAUUCUUUAAACAACGGUGCAAAAGGAAACACAAUUGGCAUUUCAUUCUUCCCCAUGUAGGUUAAAACCAAACGACAUAACCUCGAGGGGAAUGUUACAGCAGCAUACCCAUCAAGUUGGUUGUAGAAAGAACCACCGUUGAAUUCUUCUAAAACAGCAGCAGCAUGAAAGAAACCGACGAGAUCUAAAAUUUCACAAUCACUAAUUUUCACAAAGACCAAAUUACGACAAUUUCUGGCAAUAAGUUGGAGAUCUUCAAAACCAACUUUUACAUGAUCCGUCAUGUAAAAGUUUAAAGUCUCAAGAACUGAAUUAUUCAUCGCAAUCUCAUGAAUCCAUCGACCAUAUUUCUCAAUAAUUGAGCUGUCUUCCAAGAACAAGGUUCUUAAUUGCCUACACCAACAUGUAAAGAAAUAAAUCAUAUGAAAGAACCAAGGUAGUUUGUCUGUCAGAUUCUACUCCUACUGAUGUUUAUGAGGCUAUGACUCAUUUUCAUUUGCAAGGUGUUGUUUACAAUGAGUUGCAGGCUUUUAUCAACAAAAACCCUUGGAGUUUAUGUCCUCUUAUUGCAGCACAUGGUCUAUAGGACUGCCAGUAUCAAAGGAAGCCAUUUUCUCUAGCAUCAAAUACUAACAAAUUUAACUUCUAACUAGAUAAGUAAUAAACUGCGACCAACGACAAAACUAUGGAUUAAACUACAUUUGACUACAUUUGAUGCUGUUAGAACAUCAAAAGCAUGUAUUAAAAUCUAAGCUGCGACCAACGAUACAGUGGUAACUACAGAAGACUGUAGGCACAGAUCAGUGAGAGCAGAGGUGACAUUCAGCAUAAACAGGGGCCAAAAUCUUUCUAACUAUGGACAAGAAACCGAUUCACAAAACUAUGGACAAGAAACCAAUAACAUAAAGGAACUAACCCAGAAACCGAUUCACAAAACUAUGGACAAGAAAAUAUACCUUUCUAAAGCAAGUCUGCGAAGAAAGUCUGCCCAAGACAAGCCAAACACCACAGCCAAACUAGCAGAAAACCCAAGCAAGAGAUCUCAGACAAAAACAAGCAGAAAAUCCUCAAAUUAAUUUAUAAAAGGAAGAAGAAAUCAAGGGGGGAAAAGGAGCCCGAAACCAGAUCAAGGGAGAACGAAAGGGAGAAGGGAGAACGAAACCAGAUCGGUGUAGAGAGGAGAAGGGAGAAUGAAAGGGAGAACGAGGGUGUAGAGAAGGGAGAACGCCGGAAAUUCCAGAAAAUGUCUUACUGAUUCCAAAUCGGUAAGACGUUUUCCAUAAAUUGGGGCCUUUUUUACCCGUGUUUGUAAAACAUUUUCCCUUAGGAUUUCAUUUUACACCAAUCAAACACUGGAAAAUCCGUAAAAUAUUUUCCGGAAAAUAUUUUCCACCAAUCAAACAGAGCUAAGUAAACAACACGAAUUAUGAAAAUAAAAGUAAAGUCACUAAUUAAUCCUGCAUGGCCUAAUAGUUAAAAGAGUUCUUCACUUUAGAUGUGGCCUAAAUUUGAAUACAAUCGAAUUGAAUUAUUUAUUUGAGUUAAAUUUAAAAAAUGACUUUGGAUCAUUGUAACAACUGUCAUUCACCGUAAUCAAAUUUGUUAUUAACUUUCAUCUCUUCAUAACUUAUUUAUUAAUCUUUUAUAUACGGGUUAGCUUCUUUGCUUGCUUAAUUGCUUCAAUUAUCUUCUGAUUCUUGUCAUUAUGUAUUUUGAAAUUAAAAAAUAUAUUAGAUGUAAAAAAGUGAUUUUUAAUAAAAAUUAUUUUAAAGAUAAAAUGUGAAAUCGAUACUAAUAUAAAAUUUUAACACGAAUAUUUUAUGGCAUCAUCAAUAAUUCAAUUUUAACAUAAAUUUAUAAAGAUUCAAUUUGCUUAAAUAAUUCAAUAAUAUAAAUAGUACAAAAUGUGUAAUUUAAUUUAAUAAUAUAGAUGUAGAUAUAAAUAAAAUUAUUACUAUUUAGGUUUAGGGAUUUUUUUUGGAUAAUUUUAAUUUUUUAUUUAGGGUUAAGGAUGAAAAGUAAAAGUUUAGAGAAAAAAUUUAAAAGUUUUGGAGAGUAAAUUUUGGAGAGAAAGUAAAUGGGAGAGUAAAAUUUGGGGAGGGGGGAUAUUCAAAAAAAAUCUAAAGGAAAAAUGGGUUUGAGGUAGACGGGAAUGGGAUGGGAGGAGAGUAAAAGUAUUGGGAGAAAGUACAAAAGUUUGGGAGUUUGGGGUAAAUUUUAAAAUAUAAUAGUUUGGUAUUCGAUUUAUUUGAAUUAUUCAAAUCCAAAAACUCAACUCGAUUCGAACUCGAAAUUCGAAAAAAAUCGAAUUAACUCGAAUAACUCAAUUCGUUUAAUGCCUCAUUAAAAAUAUUACCAAGAAAAUUCAAUGAGAAAAAACCUUAGUUAAGAAAAAUAUGAUACAACGCAUAUUUACUCCCCUCAUGACAACAUUACAUGAAAUCUCAUAUUUUACGUAUUCAAUCUUAAAUACUAGUUUUUCAAAUGAUAACUUGAACAAUUUGCUAAACAUUUAUAUCAUCAUUCUUCUGAAUGCCAUUAGCGAGGAAGAAUUUUGGGAAAAUAUAUUUUGAUCUAUUCGGGAGUUUGAAUAAUAAUCAUAACAAAGUUUGGUUAUGAUCUUUUUAUUCAUGUGCAUGUUGGAUCAUCUUAUAAUCUUUCUUUAACUAUUAUUCAUCGAGUUGAAUUUACCACAUAUGUUUAAGUCAAUUAUUUCAUAUAAAUAUUUACUCAAAUGUAUCGAAUAAUAUCUUGAGAAUUUUUAUACGCUUACAACAUUCUAAAUCCUUCAAGGAUUUUAAUAUAAAUUUCUACUAGAUAGUGAUUCAUAUAAAGAUUGUAACAACAAUCAUUAGACGCAUAUCAAAUUUUCAUAAGCUGUCAAACUAAUGAGAUAUCUAAAUGUUAUUGCAUCUACCACAAAAGAAUAUAUUUUCAUAAUUAUUGCUAAGGCUUUAGAGAUAACUUCAUUUUCUUAUUUCAUUUUCACAAAACAACUCAUUUGUACUCCACUGACCUUAAACCUUUAGAUGCUUGGACUACUGGUCCAGAAACUUCACAAAUUUAAUUCUACUUAAAUUGCGUCUUUCUAUUUUAGCCAAUCUAUUUCAUGUCUAUGUUUUUUGAUAAAUUUAUUCAAGAUCCUCCUUUUGCUUCAUUAUCUCAAUAAUACUAUUGCAUGAAAAAUAUUGUCAACAACUUUCUAUUUUCACGGUUCCAUAUUUUCUCUUAUUGACUAUCGAGAUUUCUUUAUUUUCAUUAUUUCCAUCGUCAAUUUCAGGUAUUUGACUCUCUUUUGGAGUUGUAAUAAUUAGUUAUGUCUUAAGGCUCUUCUGGAACACCCACCUCCACCAUCUGACAUAUAUAUUAAUUAUUUUCUUUUACGAGAAUUUUCAUCUUCGGUACCAAUCGACUUGUCAUGCUUUAGGCAUGCAUUACUUUAAUUUAUUCUAACAAGUUGUCCUACUAGGACUUCAAUUCAAAUCAAAACAUUAACUGGUAUAUAACACUUGAUUAUUCUCAUCAGGUUAGUAAAUAUAUUUGGUAGUUAACUUGUAAUAAAAUGAAUUAUCUUUUUGAACUUUUGGUUCAAAUAACUUUCUACGAUGAUCAAGAUAAUGCUAAUUUAUUUCAAGUAAUUUAUUUAUCCAACUAUUGUUUUUCUCCCCUAAUGUUGGGAAAACUAUCAAAGCAAAUAGUAAUCACAAAUCAUGUCAAAAUUGAAUCUCCAAAUCAUUUAAAACAUCUUAUAAUACGAGACUCAUAAUUAGUAUAUAUUAUCAACUUUAUUUGAAUACUCAUUUCGUGCUUUGUGGUGGAGCAACUUGAACAUUUAUUGCACAUUCAAAACUUCUAAAAUGGGUUGUAUUUGACUCCUGACCAAAAGUCAAUUGUAAUAGGGAGUGUAUAUCAUAACUUAUUGGCAUGAUACGUACAAGUGUCUAUUCAUAUAAAAUAUCAUAUCCUAUACAUAUAUACAAAAAAUUUUCUUCAAAAGAUAUGGUUUAGCUACUAAUUGGUAAGUGGUCAAAUUAUAAUUCCAACACUAAGUAAAUAUCCAAUAGGUUAAAUUUACUUAGUGAAAUCGUUGUACCUUAAUUUAUAGAGUUAUCAUUGAAAUAGAUUUUUGAGAAUUGUGAAAUCAAUUAGUAAAUAUGUCAUCAAUAAUAUAUUAUUGUCUUGAAUUGUUUGAAAAGGCAAAUUGUAAUAAAUGAUGUGAUAGUUAAAUUUGAUUAUGGAGUGUAGCACCCUGUAACCCGGAUCCGGCGAUUGGGUUGGGUAUGAGGUGUUACAAGAGACGUGGUGGAACCACAAUUGGGACUUGGGAGGAAUUCCAAAAAGAAUUCAAGGCACAGUUUUACCCAGAUUAUACCGAGUAUGAGGCUUGAGCAAAGUUACACCGGUUUACGCAACGAGGCACAGUUAGGGAGUAUGUGCGGGAGUUAAGUGAAGCCAUGCUCCAAAUUUCUUAUUUGAAAGAGAAUGAGGUGUUUUUUUUCUUUUUGGAUGGGUUGAAGCCAUGGGUGAAGCAAAAGUUGUAACGCCGAUGAGUCCAAGAACUUACCAAAGCCAUGACGAUAAUAGAGUCCUUAAUUGAACUUGUUCCGAGGAAAGAUAAGUUUGAGUCUUCCAAGGCCAAUGGGAAGGGUGAUGGUAGGGAAGAUGAAGAAGGACAUGGCGAGUAUGACAAUGGUAAUAGGUAACGAUGGCAAUGGGAAACAAUGAAACGAGAAGUGGAAAACCAACAACAACCUAAAUGAGAAAGGUAGCGAGAUAAAAUGUUUCUUUUGUGACGGCCCGUAAACAAGAAAGGACUGUCUGAAGAGGUAUGUGCUUUUAGUCAUCAAAGGGGAUGAUGAGCCAUAAAAAGCACCUAUAAGUCUUAGUUCGGUCUUGCGUGGUGUCAAAGCCAAGAGGGGCAAAGAAAGCAAGAAAAAGCCAGUUGAAUGCUUCUUUUGUAGUGGUCUGCAUAAAAUGCAAGACUGUCCAGAGCGAUCUAAGUUGUCCAUGAUCAGUAAAAGAGAAAAAGCGGAACCUAAUGAGAGUAAGGCUUCAAAUCUUGAGUCAAUGAUACUCACUCUUGCGAAAAGGAAUAGUAGGCAGCUAGGGUUGAUGUUUGUGGACAUCAACAUCGUAGGUCAAAGCAAAAGUGCUCUUGUUGAUACAAGAGCAUCAGAUCUAUUCAUAUUAGAGAAAGUCGUAGACAAACUUGGUUUCUUAGUUAGAAAAUCGAAUAAGAAUAUUAAGACGAUAAAUUUCGAAGAUGUCUCAACUAUGAGAGUAGCACGAGAAAUAGAGCUUCAACUCUGCGAGUGGAAGGGUAGGGUAUUGGGAAAUGUGUCCAUAUUGUAGUAAACAUGUAAUUAUUUUCUAUUUAUUUGAAUGAUGAAUAAAUAGAUAAAGUUAAUUUUGCAUUUCACUAUUAUAUUUUUGUAUUUUUGUUUUUCAUAUUUUGCAUGCAUAGCGAAAUUGUGAUAAGAAAAUAUUAGCUCAUUAAUUGUCUAAGUUCAAACUGAUGAUAAGUGGCAUUAUAAGAACGUUUACAUCGCGAGAAAGACUACUUCAAUAGAUAAUCUAAAUGAGUCUGUAAUCUCGUAAAAAAAUCAAAGUGAGCAUUUGAUUCAAAUACUUAGAAGAAUUAUCAUGUCGUCUACAAUUCCAAUUGAAAAGAUGACUAGUCUUGGCUAUCGGAGUAGUUGAUUCCACGAGUAGAGACAUAGAUGUAUUCAAUGGUAGAAUGAUACAUUGGAUUGGACCCAAGAUGAAUUAAUUCUGAAUCUGUUUGUGAAUUUUCACUUGUGAUAUUCAUGGUAUGAUUUACCUAAAUCCUGGGUUAGUCACUGACCAUUCGUAUGUAACUCAUGUGCUUUGAUAUAAGUGGAGGCUUAUGUUCAAAAAAUGGUCAAGCCAAUAACCGGUAUGUUCGGCACAUGACUUGUGUAUGACAUUGCUUUACUAAUAACAAUGGAAUUCAUAGCUCAAUAAAGAGUUAACGAUGUCUUCUCAUUGGCAUUGUAUGGAUUGAUAAAUAUGAAACGUGGCCACGGGUUACUUAUUCUCGAACAAGCAAUUUAUCACAGUCAUUUCUUUACAGUGAUCAUAUUAAUUAUUAAGAAGACACAGUGGCAAUGAUGAGAUAAAAUAGGAUUGUAUUGAGUGAAUAGAUUUAACUUAAAGGAAUCAAGGAUAUCAUAUAAGGGUAACACACACAUGAUGUGGUCAUUGGACAAGGCAGUUGGAUGAAUUGCUUUCGUAAAAAGUAUGCAAUAAGGAGUUUUCAAUCAUCGUACUUCUUGUGAACUGACUCCAUGACUAAAUAAUUACAAAUUAUCGGAACAAUGCUUUUGGACAUAAUUGCAAUUACUAGAGCCUAAUUGUAUAUGUCUGAUUAAUCCCUCCGCUAACUUAACAAAAGCUCGAUCAGACUGCAUUUGAAUCAAAAGAAAAUUCUACAACUUUGGAAAUAACUUAAUUGAGUCGAUUUAUUCGAUGUGGAAUUAAAUUGGGCAACCGUAAGAAUUGUUCAACUAUAGAAAUUGAUUAAAGAAUUUUCUUAAAAAAUUAAUUUAAAAAAUCUAAGUGAUUUUUGGAAAAAUUAAUUUUGAUCAAGUAAAAUUAAAUUAAUCAAAUUAAUUAAAAUUAAUAUGAUAUUUUUAGAAAUUAAUUUUCAAGUCAGACAAUUGGACCAAUGGGUAAUUGAACUUGAAAAUUGGACCUGAGAUAAAAAAUUAAGUUUGGGAGCCCAAAAUCGAGACCAAUAUCCAAAAACUGGUCGAAUCGAGCAUGGUAUAUGAAACUAAGCCAACGGUCUAACUCAUGGCUGGAUUGGACUGGUUGGGCCGUCACUGGCCCAGAUCGAACCGGCAAUAACUGUACCAGCUCGGGGUGUCGACGGCUACGAUAGUGGUAUUCUGGUGGUUAGUAAAUGAUUGGUGGUGGUGAGUCUUCGAUGGUUGAGCAUGGAGGAAUCACACUCUUACUGGGACUCUACCGAAUAAUUUGAUUUCAAAUUAACUAUUACAAAAAUAAUAUUAUUUUAAUAGAUUUAAUACUAAAUUUAAUUUAAUACUUAUCUUAAUAGUUAUCUUAAUAGUAUUAUAUUAAUUUAAUAUUAAAGUGAUUAUCUUAAUAUUAAAUUUACUUUAAUGUUUAUCUUGUAGAUAAAUAUUCUAUUAAUUUAAUAAAAUUUAAUAUUAAUUUAAUAUAAUACUUAUCUUGAUAAGUAUUAUAAUAAUUUAAUAUUAAAGUGGUUAAGUUUAAUUAUAGUUUAACUCUCUAAACUCUCCUUAUAUAAAGAGAGUCUUGGGUCAUUAUUUCACACACACUUGAAUUCAAGAGAAAGUUGUAGAGAGAAAAUUCUCUAAAGAAAUUAUUUCAAAAAUUUCUAGAAAUAUUUUUUAAUUUACAACUUGGCCCAAAAGUUUAGAGAAAUUGUGAAAUUAUCCCACCAGUAUUUUUUGUGAAAAAUUUUUUGAUUUGAAGCGAACCCACACUCGACAAACGUGAGCUUGAGGAUAACGGAGAUGACUACUUAGUUGAAGCGUUCAUCCUAGACGAAUCGAAAAUGUACAAUUUUAAUCAAAUGUUUAUUAUUUUAGAUAUCACAAGCAAGUUCUUAUUUUAGAAAAAAAAUUAAAACUCUGAUUUUUCCCUAAAUUUAUUUUUCGCUGUAUUUUUUGAUCCCGAUUUUUCAACACAAGGAAGAUUUUGAGGUAAUCUAUUUAGAUGACUAUUAUUUUGUUCUUGGCUUGAACUUAUUGACGGGAUUAAGACAGGCCUUUUUCCUUUUCUGAUUGUAUCCAUAUCUUUGAUGAUCCACAAUCACGAUGUGUUGAGCCAGUAAAUCAAGACAUGAAAGUUGGAAUCAAGGUAUUGUCGACAAUCCAGCUAGCCGAGGAUAUUUUGUAUGAAAGGAACAUUGACUCGGUAGAUCAAAUUGCUAAGGAAGGCCUUUUGGAAAUGCUAGUGGGACAUAAAAUCGAUAUGAAGCCUAUUGAGCUAUCAGUGCAGCUACCACCUAUGAGAGAGGUGGGUUAUGCAUCAGACUUUGGGGGUAAAAUGGUGAUACAAAUUGGGCAGUUGAGACGAGUAAAUAUUGCAAGUGAGGUACAACUCAAACACUUUGGUAGUGUUUUUCAUUCUGACUUAUUUGUUGGUAAGGACACGGAGGCCAUUUCAAAGUUUUGGCAGGAAAACUCAAGGUUAACUCAGUGUUCAAUGUGAGCAUGCCAAAGCCUAGUUGUGCGGAUCAAGUGGAUUCCGAUCGAGGCAAGCCACAAUACACAAAAGUAAGAGUGAUGGGCUCUUACAAACGUGAUGUACUAACAAGUGAAACGGUUUGAGUUAGGUAACAAUGGAAGCCGAUGCAAUGGUUCCAAGGGGCAGGACUACCCGACAAUGAGACUAGUCAAGAAAGGGCCAAGGCGUCGAGAAAGUUCCGAGGCAAAUCAAACCAAUUCCAUUCCAAGGGUGCAAUGAAGGCUUUGUGAGAAUGGGUAGGGGAGAAUGUCAUAGGUCAUGGCUCAAAGCCUGUGACCAAAGCACAAAAAGCAUUCCAUGAAGGUCAACAUAUUAAAUGGGGCUUAUUUGACCCACUUGAACUGGUUCGAUUUGAAGAACAAGUUACGAAGCCCAUCUACUUGAAGUCUUAGUGGCCCAGCGAAGUACUUAAGGAAAAUUAGGGUUAUCGUAGUAAAUAUGGAAAGUAAUCUUAAAAGAUUUGUAAUAUUAUAAGAUUUGAUUUUGUAAUCUUAGGGAUUAUGUCAAUCCUUUAAUUGUAGAUAAACUUCGAUCUCGUUCGUCGAUGUAACUCAAUCUAUACCGUCGAUUUUGGGGGAGCUCAACUAUAUAGAGAGUCUAUCCCUUAUUUGUAAUCCUCCAUUGUAUCUUAUUCUUUGAGUUGAAGAAUAUAUUGAGAACAUUUACUCAAACAUCUGGUGUGUUUUGCUUUUCUGUGGCCAUUUUGUUCUUUUAAGCUUUCUUUUGUCUUUGAAUUGCUUCCAUUUUAUAAUUUGGUGCCUUAGAGAAUUUCUAUGAGAAUUCUCACUUUGUAAGAGUUAAGUUGACUUAGGUGUAUUUGAAGUAAAAAAAAACUACUUAAGGUCGUACGGAUUGCAAGAAAAAAAGUUUAACCCUGUAACAUUAGAUUUAUAUUGAAGGAUAAAAAAAAUAUACAUUAUAUUUUAGGAUUUAUUAAUUAUUAUAUAAUAUAUAUAUAAUAUAUGGGGAAGUGUGAGAUGAAGUCACGCACAAAAAGAGAAAAAAGAACUUUUGUCUUGAUUUUUGGUUUUGAGCCGCAUAGGACAGACUUUGACUUUGGUUUUUGGCACCCGCACAAGGAUUUGAGUUUUUGGGAUACUUUUCUUAAAUUUUUCGUCUUUGAGCAAUUUUCUUCCAAUUAUUUCUGGUUUGUUCUUCAAAUUAUGAGUAGCUAAAUAUUUAUUUUAGUUUUAGGUGGAUAAUUUAUUCGGUAUUAAAAUCAUAAGACUUCAAAAUCAUACAUAUAUUUUCAACUUCAAUAUUCAUUAAUUUUCUAUUAGUUGUCUCAUAACAUCGUUUUAAUAUCAAAAUUGAGAAAAGUCCCUUGAUUUGGUGUUGGAUGGCAUAUGAUUGGUGAACCAGUACGAUCAAUAAUUGUCAUGUUUAGUCUAUUGAAAAUUAAAUUGACGUGACCAAUUCAAUGAUUGGUUGGAUCCGUCUAGGGAGUUAACGCUCAAGUUUAAAUAACUCAUGAAGUUGAGUUGGGUCCUUUUAGUUCACAAAAUUGCAUAGAAAUUAAAUUGUGGUAGUUUAUUUCAAGGUUAUUUACUUGGUAAUGAUUAGCUGUUGAGUUGUUCCUGUAAUUAAUUUACAUACAGAACGGAUCAUGGUUUGAGGCUGUUUCUCGAUCACUAUAACCGACUUAUCGGUUGGAGGAGAAAAUCCAUUGUCCGAAAUUUGUUCGAAGUAGGAGUCAAAAUCGUGCCUGAAGUUGGAGCUUUCGUUAUAUCGAUUUACACAACUUUAAUUUUGUUUGUUUAUUUUUAUUGCGCUCAAUUUAUUUCUAGUAUUUAUUUUUAUUUGAAUUUUAGUUAUUUAUUUUAUAUUUAGAUUUAAUCUCCCCUUCUUUAUUUUCAUAGGUUCACAUAAAUUUUUGGUAGUAGGAAAUAAUAAAAUUGAUCAGUCUAGUCUUUGUGGUAUCGACCCUACUUACUAUACUACAAAUUUAAUUUAAUUUCAGUUUAAGUGUAAGAAAUUAUUUUUGGUAGGUUUGACAACCAUUAGAAAACAUCUUAUGUUAAAAGUUAAUUUUUUAUAAAAUUUACUCAAGAAUUAUUAUUGGUGUAGUGGUAAAUAAUUUGUUUAAAAAUCCAUCCAACAUGAGUUUAAUCUUUAGACAUAUUUGUAGAGGCCAAAAUUUGUCUGGCCUAGACCCAACAUAAACAAAACAACGAAAAUAAAAGUAAUAACACACAGUCCAUUUACAGAAGCCCCAAAGCCCAUAACCUAAAUAUUUUUUUUUCAGAAGACCCUAGUUUCCCCCUAAGCCUUAAGCCGCUGCUCCUUGCCACAUCAGCUGGCACUUCUCCCGAAGACAUCAACGCCCUGAGGUCUGCUUCCUGCCAUCAUUUCACCGAAAUGGUUGAGGAGCACACAUUUCCUCGUCGUUGACCACCACCAUGGCACCUGCAAAAGAAGAAACAGAUAGUAGAAACAAAGAAAAACAAAAAGAAAAGAAAAGAAUAUUCUAUUUGGUUCGGCUAUAAAGGCUAAAUCUUCUGUAAUUUUUAACAGGAAGAAAUUGAAUACAAAAAAAAGUAACAAGUUUUAAAAGAAAAGGUAGUUUAUUUUUUAUAUUUCACGAAAAAUGUAAAUAAAAGAAAAAGAAAGUUAUUUCUUACCUAAGCGUCGGUUCACCUCCCCAUUGCAGACAGACGUGGCCCCUAUCUCCGACGAUAGACAGGCCCUCUCUGAUUUCAUAUGAGAGGGUAGGGUUCGUCCUGCUUCUCAAAAACACACAAAGAAGCCGAAAGGUUUCAUCUCAUAUUUUCUAAUUUUGGUUGGGUUUUGGGGUAUUUUAACCCUGGAUUUGAUUCCACGGCUUCAAGGGGAUUCAAAAAAAAGUUUUUCUUUUGAAUUUUUGGCCACUGGAGGCGGUGGUCGCCAUCGCCGAUGACCGGUGGCCAUGGCGAAGUUGUGACGGUAGGAUGGUUGAAAGAAGAAGAGGAUUUCAAAGAAAGAGAGAAAGAAUUUUUUUUAAAAUGAAACCAAGUGAUUUUUUUAGGAUUUUUUAAUUUAUAUAGGCCCCUAAAACGAUGUCAUUUUGGGAUUGGCUUCAGACGUCCAAAACGACGUCGUUUUGGCACGACCCGAAGAUCCGACCCAAAUAGCCCCAAGAUCCACGUGUUUUUUGAAGGGUUGGGAAAAUUGCUUCCUAAACCUUUUCUUUUUUUCCCUUUUUUAAUUUCAUCCUAUACUCCUUUUUAUUUUAUUUUUACCCUUUUAUUUUAUUUUCUUACAUUUUGGUCCCCUGACCUACUAUUGACCUACCAAGGGAAUGACACGUAUGCUGGGUUGGGGAAAAUAACACCCUGGGUCCCUUUACUUUUAAUUUUAUUUUGAUUUAAUACUUUGUUUUUUUUGUUCUUUUAGUUUAUGCUUGGAAUUUCGUUUAGCUUUCAAUUUAGUCCUUUGCCUAUUUUUUAUUUUUAUUUGUUAUUUUAUUAUUUUAUUUUAUUAUUUCCAGCACUUUUAUUUUAUGAUUAUUUAUAUUUUUUCCCCUCUCUAAAUUAUGUAAUUUUAUUUACAUCGUUGAGUAGUUAUUUUUUGUUUUAUUUUUAUUUUUGUCAUUAGAUAUGAUUAUUACUAUUAUUAUCAGGUUAUAGUCAUUUACUGUUUUACCCUCAUUACCUUUACUACAAUUAAUUUAUUCUUUUAUUAUUAUUUCAUUAUAGUGUUAUUUCGUUUGUACCUAUGUAGCUAUUUUAUUUUUUACCAUUAUUUUAUUUUAUAUUAUGCUUACAUACACUCGUUCAUUUGGUACCAAACUCAAACAAAUUAAUUGCACAUCACAUUAAAUGUUAUAUUCGCUUUUACCCGGCGCAUAGGAAAUAAUUAGAACCGAGACGAUGUUCUUUAAUUAGGGGAUUCAAGAAAUCGUGCCCUAACUUAUGGGGUACGACUUUCUCCUUAAACCGAAAUAAUCGAACAUCCUUUUAAAAUUCAAUACACAUAGGACUUAGGUAAUAAUUAAAUGGCGAUUAUUCUUGUUUUUAAGGAUUCGAGACCUCGUGCCCUAACUUACGGGGAAUGAUCUUUUCUUCUUGAUUAACUCGAAAUAAGAAGGCAUUUUCCAUAAAAUUUAAUUUAGUUAGCGAUAUUUUAAUCAAAUAACAUCAUGCAAAAAAAAUGAUCGUACUUUAAAUUUUCUUUGAAUUCUCAAUUCUUGACACUAAGACAUCAAGUAAUCAACUAGAAACCAAUUUUGGGCGUUAUGAGGGUACUAAUCCUUCCUCAUGCACAACCGACUCCCGAACUCAUUUCCUGGAUUUUGUAGACCAAAAAUUAUAGUUUUAGUAAAUCUAACCUUUUAUUAAAAUGAUCAAAUUAUAAGGUGAUCCGAUCACACCUAAUAAAAAUGAUUGGUGGCGACUCCAUUUUCAUUUUCUAAAAUAAAAAGUCGAUUUCAAAAAAGGUUUCGACAAUGUUAAUUUUAGUUCUUUUAUUUAAAAACUAUAUAAAGGUAUGAAAAGGCAAAAAGGUCAUCAAAAUAAUAUAGUAGUCAUUUAAUAAAAUGAUAUAUUAGUCAUUUUCUGACCAAGUUAGUAUCCGAUUAACUUGUGACAUCAACUCAGUCAAGUAUUUUAUUAAUAGUAUAGAUAAAUCAAACAUGAAAUAUAAUAAAUAGAUUGUAAAAACAAAAUUAUUAAAAUACAUAAAACCAUUUUAAUUUUACACUAAUAUAAUUGAAUAUGUUUCCUUUAUCUAUACUAGUUAUUGUUGGAAAAUUACUACUGUAAAAAAACACAUUAGCACUUAUAAGUACAAAUAAUAAGGAAAAUAAAUAAAUAAAUAAAUAUUGCGUCGUGGAGAACCACUGCCUUAGAAGCGGUUUCGCCUUGAUCGAUGUAAUUGGAAAUGGUUGUUGCCCCUGCAUGUUAACACAGUGCUUUCAAAAUUUGUACAUCCGAAUGAGGAAGAUGGAACUCAAUUGGUAUUACUCUUUUUAAGUUUACGGGAAAUAAGAUCAAAAUAAGUUUAAAGAUGGUCGAAAAAUUCGACCUAAAAAAUCACACUAGGAUCAAUUUCCAAUAAAAUUUAAAAGGGUCACAAACGGUAAUUUUUAGUAAAAUAACAAAGCUUUCAGAGAAAAAAAAAUGAGGGAAAUGAAAAGAAUGAUAGAAGCUAGCCUCCUAUUUAUACUAUUAGGUGAAGGGCAAAAUAGUAAAAACACAGGGGCAAAAGAUAAAACUGUCAAAUCUAAUUUUUUAAAAAUAGUUCAAAAAAGAUAUUUUUUGUUUACUAGAAAAAGAUAUUUUUUGUUUACUAGAUUUUUCUUUAUUUUUUAAAAAAUAAUACAAAAAUUUUAUCCAAAAAUAAAUAUGCGUGGUACGUGUGCGGACACUGACACAUGUGUUAGGCAUUUAGUCAAUUACUAAAUGAAGGUAAUAAGUAAGGCUAUAUUUAAACCUUUCAUUAGCUUAUACACAGAAUAUGUUAUUCUUCUUCUUCUUUUUAGAAUUCCUAUACUAUCUUAAUUCUUAGAGAUUAAAUAGAUUAUUUUAAUUUUAAACAUAAUUUGAUUUCUCGUUUUUUUUUUUGAGUGGUUGGUUUCUUUAUUUCUAAAUAGUUAAUAUUGUUAACAAUUUUAAUCAAAAUGCUUGUAAUACCCAAUUAUUGUCCGGGCCCAACUAAGCCUAAGGCCCAAACCCAUUACAAGCCCAAGUCAUUAACCCAAAUCCCUAGCCUAACCAGCAGAGAGCUUCGACGCCACCAUCGCCCCAUGCCGCAACUGCCCACGUUCUUCCCUCGCAACAACAUCCCACGUCUCAGCAACCUCCAGCGCCGUGCAUGCCCCACGUCGCAGCAAUUCCCAUGCACGCAUGUACCUGCAAUAAAAAGAACCACGAGCAGCAAGCAAAAUGGGGGGGGAUAGCAAGUGGUAAAAAAGAUUUAGGGGGGCUAUAUAAAAGGGAAAUCGAAUCUGUAAAAGGGGGUUAGCAAAAUUUUUUGUAUGGAAAAUUUAAAAAAGAAAAUACAAGAGAGAACAAAGAUUUUUUUGGAAGGUGACGGAUUUUGGUUCUUUUUUUACUGUUUUUAUUUUAUUUUAUUUUCCUUUUGUUUCUCAAAACAAAACAAAAAACGAGGAGGGGAAGGAAGGGAGGACUUACCGUUGUGAGUCGUCGGAAGGUGUCCCCGAUUCGUCGGAUUCUAGUCGGAAAUGGGAAAGGACUUGAACGGCAGAGGGGAGGGUCUGAAACAGCAAAGAGGAAGUGCUGCUGCGGCGCAUUUCAAGUGACAGAAGGGAAAUGAUUUUAUAGGGUUCAAAAUGGACUAUUUUCGCCAUUAGUCCUCAUGAUUUAUGGUGCUUUUCAAAUUAACUUAUUUAUUUAUUCUAAAUCUGACUGUACCUUUUAUUUUCGUUUCAAAUUGGUCCAAUAGUGUGCAGCGUUUUAGGGUGGGUUGGAAAAUUACUUUUUCGGUCCUUUAUUUAUUGCACCUGUUUUAAUUUACUCCAUUUCUUGUUUUUAUUUUCAAAAUUCGGCAUUCAACUUCUGUUUGAUAUUUUAAUUUAGUCCUUAAUUUGUUUUUUUAGUUUAUUUUUAUUAUAUUAUUUUUUAUUGUUUAUUACUGUUAAUUAUUAUAUUAUUAUUGUAUGUAUGUAUGUGUGCGCAUAUAUAAUAUAUAUUAAAUGUUUUAAAUAUAUAUGUAGUACGUAUUUUUUUAUUAUUAUUAUUACAAUUUUUUUUGUAUAUAGUUUAUAUAUAUAUUAUAUACAUUCAUAUUUUAUAAUUAUUUAUAUUUUCAUGUUUUAUAAUUCAUAUGUUUAUGCAUUUUUAUAAUAUGUACAUAUCAUAGAUUUUAUUAUUAUUUUAUUUUUUCUUAGCCUUAUAUACAUAUGUAUGCGUAUAUACUUUUAUAAUAUAUAUAUGUUUUCUAUAUUUUAUGAUCCAAAUAUUUUUAUAUAUACGUAUACAUAGAUAUAUAUUGUUCUAUACCUUUAUAAAUAUAUUUUUAAAUUUGUUUUUUUAUAUAUACAUAUGUCCAUCUUUUUGAUAAUUACUAAUAUAUUAUGUUUAUACAUUAUUAUGUUUAUUAUUUUUUUAAAAUGCACGUACAUUGUAUUAUUGAUUCAUUUUUGUGAUUUUUGUAUAUAUUUGCACGAACGUUUUAUCAUACUUUUAAAGAAAGUAUAUUUUUGGUUUUGUUAAUAUUAAAAUUGUUUUUUUUAAAUAUUUGAAUAUUUGGCAAUCAUGAUUCUUGAGAAAGAUCGUGUCCUAACUUAUUGGAUCGUGAUCAUUUUUUCGAUGAAUUUAACAAGCUAAGUAUUCAUUUCACAAUAAAUUUGCAAUUUUCAAAUAAAAGCUUAUUCUCGGGAAUUCAAAAUGUCGAGUCCUAACUUACUGGUCGUGACGAAAUAAGAAUUUCUAAAACAAAAAGUAAUAUUCGGUAUUUUGAAGAUAUAAAAUAUUGUGCCCUACCUUAUUGGGUGUGGUGUUUUAUUUCUUUGAAAUGAGAAUGUUGUAUCAUUUUAAUCCAUUCACGGGUUUAAAAAAAAAUUUAUUUAAAAUCUUUUCAAACUUUCGAUAUCAAGACAUUAAACAAUCAAUUUAGGUACCGAUUUUUGGGCGUUACGAGGGUGCUAACCCUUCCUCGUGCGUAACUGACUCCCGAACCCGUUUUCUCAAAUUUUGUAGACCAAAUUUGUUUUAAAGGUGAGCCGGUCACACUUAAAUCACGGAUCGGUGGCGACUCUAACUUUUGUUUUUUUUAAAGUCGAUAACUUAUUUUUGUUUUCAAAAAUUGGUUUCGACAAUGCUAAUAUCAAUUUCCUUAAGAACACUACUUAAAUAAAAGAUAAUUAUUUUAUCAUGACAAAUUUAAAUGAGUGUCAUUAAGAAGAAAAAAAAUCUUAAUUAAUAUUUUUAUUAUUAAAUGAUUACCAAGUGAAUAUUUUUUUGUCAUUCGCGCUAGAGAAUUUAAUAAAAGAAAUUUAAUGGUGGUAAUAAUUGUAUCUAGAUUUUUAAAUUCGAAAAAUGAAAGAAGUAAAUGUCUAAAAGUAAAAAUAUGUUGAAAAUUUUAAUUUAUAAAUAAUCAAAGAAAUAGAAAGUGUGGGUGAAAAUCAUAUAUAAAAUAUAAAUAUUAUACUACAACUGAAAAACGUUAAAUUUGCGAAAAGAGAACCUGAAGAACGCUUAAUAGUAUAGAUAUAAUAUUACAACUGAAAAACGCGGGAGUAAUUUUCGUGGAAACCUACAAGUAAUGAGAAAAACAUGUCAAGAAAAAAUUUUGCUUUUUAAAUAAGAUACAGUUCAUUCCACUAAGGUUCUACUCAUUGGUUGUUGGGGAUGUAUGUAUCUUUUCCCACUAUCAAAUACUUGCCAAGCUCGAAAGCUGACCUCUAAAAAGCUUGACCAAACUUCCCCAAGUCCCUGAAAAAAUUAACUAUAAAACCCAGUUAGGGAAGAGAGGAAACAAUUGGGAGAUCAUAAAGGACUGAGUGGGAGGUUAAUAGAUCAGUAGAUAUGGAGAAAGCACUCAACAGGCAGAGAGUUUUGCUUCAUCAUUUACGACCCUCUUCUUCUUCUUCUUCUUCUCAUGAAUCUGCUGCUACUCUCUUUGUAAGCUUAAUCCUUUGCAUUAGAUUUUUUCUUCUUGUUUUUGUUUCUCCUUUCAUUUUAGUGAAUGGGUUUGAUUUCAUUUCAUCAGCCUUCAAAUUGUGCGGCUGGGGAUAGCGCUGCUUAUCACCGGACGGCUGCCUUCGGGGACGAUGUUGUGAUUGUGGCGUAAGUUGUUUUACAGUAUCCUUUUCUUCCCUACUCUAAAUCUUUAUUUUAUAAAUAUUUUUUACUUACACAGGGCGUGCCGCACUGCAAUUUGUAAGGCCAAACGUGGAGGCUUCAAGGAUACACUUGCAGAUGAUUUACUUGCCCCUGUUUUGAAGGUUAGAUGUUGCUUUUGGUUUUUGCGUUGAGCUGUCGUUACCUUGUUCCCACCUAUCUUUAACUUAACUCUCCAUGGCAUGCAGGCUUUGAUAGAUAGAACAAAGUUGGACCCAAGUGAAGUUUCUGAUAUAGUUGUGGGUACGGUUUUGGCACCCGGCUCACAAAGAGGAAUCGAGUGUAGGAUGGCUGCAUUCUAUGCUGGUUUCCCUGGUAUGCCUCUUCUUUGAUUUCAUUUGUUAAUUGCUACUGGCAUGCUAGAUAUGGAGUCACCAAGGUGGUUACUUUACUAUGUUGAUAAUAGAGAUGUCAAAUGAAAGGCAUGCAUUGACUUCUAAAUUGUUGGUUUAAUUUACAUUUUACAGUCCCUUUUCAUAUACAUAUUGCUAAAAUAAUAACACUCGUCAACCAGAUACGGUGCCUAUUAGAACUGUCAACAGGCAAUGUUCAUCUGGCCUACAAGCAGUCGCUGAUGUUGCUGCUUCCAUAAAAGCAGGAUUUUAUGAUAUUGGUAAAGACACUAUGCCUUAUCUAUGUAUAUGAAUGCUGAGACGGAUUUAUUUGAAUAUGAAUGGCAUUCACCUAGUUGGCUUUGAAUGAAGGCAUUGGUGCUGGAUUGGAGAGCAUGACAACUGACAAAGUUGUUCCUGGGGUUCCCAAAGUUAACCCAAAGGUAUUAUGAACAAAUAGUUUGUACUCACUAUCUAGGAUAUCUUUUACAUGGUAACAUGCAACUUGUUUUCACAGGUAGAGAGCUUUGCCCAAGCCCGGGAUUGCCUUCUUCCUAUGGGCAUUACUUCUGAAAAUGUUGCAGAACACUAUGGUGUGACACGGCAAGAGCAAGACCAGGCUGCUGUGAGUUCUGUGCAUUUACUUUUAUAUACUGAUAUAAGCUUAAUUAUUAUCAGUCUGAAACGCCUGCAAUUUGUUAAGGUAGGUUGAAUCUCAUCGACGUGCUGCUGCUGCAACAGCCUCUGGUAAAUUCAAAGAUGAAAUUGUCCCUGUACUUACCAAGGUAAGUUUUGUGUAGUAAAUUAUUCUGGUUUAGGAUUGUUUUAUGAUGCUUGGUUAACUUGUUUUAAUCUGUAAAGAUUGUGGAUCCCAAAACUGGGGAAGAGAAGGCAGCCACAAUUAUGGUAGAUGAUGGAAUCCGCCCAAACACAAACAUGGCAGAUUUAGCAAAGUUGAAGCCUGCAUUUAAAAAGGAUGGAACCACCACUGCUGGUAUAUAUAAUCACAAAACUUGUGAAAUUCUGAGAACAACAAUAUGCAGUUGUAUGAAACUUGUGUUACAGCUUGCAACAUUUUUUUUUCUUAGGAAAUGCAAGCCAAGUAAGUGAUGGUGCAGCUGCAGCCCUCCUUAUGAAGAGAAGUUUGGCUAUGCAAAAAGGACUUCCAAUCCUCGGCGUUUUCAGGUAAUGAGAAUUUAUGGACUGAUUACCGUCGGAGAAUUUUAGGUAGGAGUGGAUAUAUAAAUUCACAUUUGUAAGCUGAUCACACUGCUUGUUUUUGCUCCUUUUUUUAUAGGAGUUUUGCUGCUGUUGGUGUGGAUCCUGCUGUGAUGGGCAUUGGCCCUGCUGUUGCUAUACCGGCUGCUAUAAAGUCUGCUGGUCUUGAGCUUGAUGAUAUAGACUUGUUUGAAAUAAAUGAGGUGAUGGGUUUCUUUAGUUGAUUUUUAUUUUGAGGGUGAAUCAAAUUUAAGCCCUCCUUUCUUUUUCUAAUUAUGCAAUAUGUAUUUUGCCUCAGGCAUUUGCAUCCCAGUUUGUAUACUCUUGCAAGAAAUUGGGGCUUGAUCGUGAAAAGAUCAAUGUUAAUGGAGGUGCAAUAGCCCUUGGGCAUCCUUUGGGUGCUACAGGUACUUAAAAAAACAAUUGCCCUGGUUAUCCAACCUGGUUGCUGCAUGGAAGUGGCACACAAGCCAAUACACAGAUAAACAGUAUUACUGUAUAAACAUGUAUUAAGUUUUGCUAUACACUAUUCUAUGUAUCAGGAGCUCGAUGUGUGGGAACUCUAUUGAAUGAGAUGAAACGUCGUGGGAAGGACUGUCGCUUUGGAGUGAUCUCAAUGUGCAUAGGUAUCCUUAUCCUUCUCUCCCCCUCUAACCGAGGAUUGAACUGAAAUGUUAAGCCUGGUUCAUUUCCUUUCUUUAUCCGAAUCUCUUGUCAUGCAGGCAGUGGAAUGGGGGCCGCUGCUGUUUUCGAAAGGGGGGACUGCGUUGAUGACUUCUGCAAUGCUCGAGCUGUCCAAAAAAACGACCUUCUCUCCAAGGAUGCUCGAUAGAGAUGUUUGUUGGUAUCUUAAAUGUUUGCUUUAUGUAUUCAAUAAAACUUUGGCAUAUUCCCAAGCAAAAGUUAGAUAAUCAUGUCGAUUUCAAGAUCCUUGGAAUGGCUUUAUUCUUCUAUACUAAAUGUUCAUGUUUGCUUAUUAGCCAUAGAUUAUUCCUAAGAACGCAGAAGCUAGUGGAUUACCAAAGCAUUCAACUUGAUCAUAUAGUUAAAAUUGAAUUAGAGAUACAGACGUCGAAUCACAGUUAUGAUUCGCCUAAUCAAAUCAUUAACCAUUACAGUAAUUGUGACCAAUUCUGUCCUAUAAUGAAACCUGGGGAAUCUUACAGUGAUUAAGGUCUAAAUGAAAAGAGGUUUCCUUCUAUGCCAGAGUUCUCUCUGAAGCUGAGAAUUUGAUAACAUUGAAAGGGAAGAACCUAAAAACCAAAAGAGCUGACAGCCUCAUUCUGGAUCAGGUGAGCCUCCUGGGACCAGCUGCAAUGUACAAAAAAGAAUUAUUAUGAGAAAUUUAGAUAGUGGAAUUCAUUGCAAUUCUUCAUGUUGAGCGGCAUUUGGUUUCUAUUGUUCAAACUGAUACAUUUGCCCCCAGUUGGCGAUCUACAGUUCUACACUUCAUGUGCUUAACCAUAUAAUGCAAUCCUCAAUAAAUAUGCCAAUCCUAAGUACAGUGUGAUCUUAAGAAGUGUAUUAACUAGGUCACAAAUCAUUUAAACUUACAAUGGCAAUGUUAUUUCCAUUAAGCAAAAUUUGAUCAAGCUUCGUGAUCCGUCUUCCCUCAGUAGUGAUCUCGCUGUGAUGCAACAGAAACGAAAAAGCAAUCAAGACCAACACCAGUGAUAAACAUUCUCCAAUUACUUACGUAUACAAGCAUCGGGAAAAUUUGUUGCCAGGCCAAUACAAGUCAAUCAAAAGAGCACAUCUUCUCAUUAUUUUCAAGCACAUGAGUAAGAAAAUCAAACACCUUAUCACUCUCGAAUGAAAAAAGAAACAUCACAUAGUAAAAUAAAUGUGAAAAAAAAGUACAACCAAGCAAUGAAUAUCAAAUUGGAAGCAAUGUAGUUAGCUAAGUGAGCAGACAUCGAGCCCAAAAACACUGGCUACAUAGAUUGCUGGUUCUUGAUAUGUUCCGAGGAUGCCAAUGAUACAAAUUUAUCAGAGAUCAAAAUGGUUUGCUGAAAAACCAAACUCUGACAGAAGGCACCAAUGUUGUGAAGAAAACUAGUUCUAAAUCACACCCUAUCAGAACAAACUUUUAAGCCAUCUCACUUUCUCCGGUUACCACCUUGCUACUGAGAAAGAAUUCAAACAUUGAACCAAAAGAUGAAAAGCAAAUCUUAAAUUCAUCGGAAUAUUCAGGGCAAACAAAAGUCAUGGGACAAAGAGGGAUACCAUAAAUUUGAAAUUUGUUUAAAUACAUGAAACAAUGGCUAAUACCCAGAAACCAAAACUCCAACUUGAUCUCUUUCCCGUCACUUUCCUAACACGAUUGUACAUAAAACCCUAACACACACAAGGGAAAUCAAAGCCUAGAUAUGAUGUCUAAUCUAUAUCUAAACAUUCAAAGAGAGAAAGGGGAGAGAUUUACUAUUCGGUGACAUCUUCAAGGACCAUGUUAACGUAGACAUCGAAGCCUCUGAGAGUACCCACGAGCUCUUUGUCACCUUUCAUUAUCACCCAAAUUUUGGACCCUAUGCACCUGUCUAUCAACUCUGUAAACACAAAGCAAGCAAACCCAAAUCAGAAUUUAAUCCAACUUCCUCGAGAAAUUUAAGGGAAAGUGAAAGAAAAACUGUCACCUGAAGGAAGAAGCUGUGAGGGAUUGUUUGCCAUUGCUUUGAGAGAGUUGUUCACUCAAAAGUAAAGCUCCCAAUUGUUUGAUUCAAGUUUUCUGUAAUCGUAAUGAAACGAGUUACUAAUACUAUCCGUAUGUCAAACAGGCCCUGUCGACCCAAUGGACUUCAAAUUUUGCCCGACCCAGCACCUCCGGGCCAGCCAAGCACGGCCCUUUUUCAACCGCUAAGCACUGACGAAAAAUAUUUGUUACUUUUUAUGUCUAUUUUUACGAAAAAUAGUUUGAUGAUCGGAAUUUUUAAAAUUGUCUCCGGAAAACAUUCAAUCAAACGUCAACUCAUCCUGUCAAAAGCUUUAUUCAACUCUUUUGAGACCUCCUAAAUCGACAGCUCCUUUAUUUUUGGCCAAGGUUGCUUUAACUAACUUAAUUCUGUUGAUAAUAUUAUUAUGAGAUAUUAUCUUUUGGUAAUUUGUUUCUUAAUUAAUAUUAUAUGAUAUUAUUAUAGGAUAUUAUUUUUUAGUAAUUUAAUUUUUAUGUAACUAUUAUUGUAUAGAUAUAUAUAUACUCUUGAGAUCUAUUAAUAAAAUUUAAGAGAUUACCCUAUUUUUGUUAUGGCAUAUGAGUAAGGUUUUUUACACAAUUUUUUCUUUCAUUAUUCUGAGUAAGGUUUUUUACACAAUUUUUUCUUUCAUUAUUCUAAAUGGCUAGCGGCGAGUCUUCUCCUCCUCCACCACCACCAAGGGAGGCGACACUUCCUGGUUUUACCAUUGAGAAAUGGCAGUCUCUUCUAGCGGUGUUCGAUAAUAAACAAUCAACCUCCACUCAGUUGAAUGGUAAGUCCAAGAAUAAUUGGAUUAUUGAUAUGGAAUGUUCAAAUCAUGUUACGAGUGAUCUUAUGUGUUUGACGAAUGUGAGAGAUGUUGUAGCAUGUUCCGUAGAACUCUCUGAUUGCCAAAUAGUGGUGGCUACCCAAAAAGGAAUGGUUAAAUUGACAGGCAAAAUUUAUUUAAAAUACGUUCUUUACGUUCCUAAACUAAACUGCAAUUUAAGUAUUUUUGGGAACGAUUCCGCUGCUUUGAAAACUUUUAAGGGGUAUCUCAGUUCUUGCUUCCAUAUGAAUGAUCUUGGUGUUUUGAAAUAUUUUUUGGGAUAGAGGUAGCUCGUAGCUUAUAGCUCUUUGGGGUUGCUUCUUUAUCAAAUGAAAUAUGUACUUGAUAUUAUUUCGGAGGUGGGUCUUUUAGGAGCAAAGCCCAUAUGAUCGCCAAUAGAGCAAAAUCAUAAAUUAGAGCAUGCUACAGGGACAAUUUUGUCUGAUCCUGAACCGUACAGAUGGUUAAUGGGUCAUUUUAUUUAUUUGGCAGUGACUAGACCUAAUUUGACAUACUCGAUUCAUGUCUUAUCCCAGUUUAUACAUGAGCCGAGGUAGGAGCAUUGGGACGCGACUCUACGUGUUGUCUGGUACUUGAAACUUGAAAGGCUCUAUUGGCCAAUGGAUUAUUUUGAGAUCUGAUAGUGAUUUAUCCUUGAAAGGAUGGUGUGUUUUGAAUUGGGCUGCUUGUUUAUUAACUCGACAUUUGUUAUUGGCUGGCUUGUCUUUCUAGGACAAUCUCCUAUUUCCUAGAAAACUAAGAAACAACAUAUUGUUUCCCGUUCUUCUGCUAAGGUUGAGUAUAGGUCUAUGGCUUCUGUCACUGGUAAGCUCAAGUGGCUGAAGGCCUUGCUAUUGAGCUUAGGUGUUCAUCAUCUUAAAGCAAUUCUUUUAUUUUGUGAUAGUCAAUUUGUGCUACAUAUUGCACAGAAUCUCAUAUUUCACGAGCGUACUAAACAUAUUGAAGUGGAUUGUCACUUUGCUAGGGAUGCAAUAUAUGAUGGGUUGAUUGUACCUUCUUAUGUUUCGACCUCUGUUCAGUUAGCUAACAUUUUGUAACAACACAUUUUUAGUGGUGUCGAAAACAGUGGUUUCAGGACCACGAUUCCAAAAAGUGAGUCAGUGUUUUAUUAUUUAUUAGAGUCAUACUAAAAUUCAAAUAAGAAAUUUUAACGUUUAGAUAGUUAAGUAAUUAAAAAGGACUAAAUCGUAAAAGAAGUAAAAGUUGGUCUCCACCAACUAAAUGUAUUAAAUAACUAGAUAAUGUAAAUCAAAUGGACUUAAUGGGUAAAUAAACCAUGAAAUUAGAUAGUAGACAAUUAUGGACAAGGUUUGGUUGAAAUUUAAAGUUAAUGUUGUAAGGGUAAAAUAGUAAAAUGUGAAAUAAAAUAACAUUAACAAAAUUAAGUGAUCAUCUUCUCCAUUUGUGCGUUCUUUGACCGAACACCAUAGCCAAAAGGUUAGCAAACUUUCGGCCAAGCUAAUUCCUUGCAUGGUAAGUGAUUUUUAUUUUGUUUCUAAUUAUUUUUGUGUUUUUGUGAUUGUAUUAGCUUAAAUUAGCUAACCCAGGGGUCAAUUCAUAAAAUUGUUAAAAUUAUAGGGAUCUACCAUGAAUGAAUUGAAUAUGUUUUUAACUUAGUUGAUAGAUUACUAAGGUUAGUAGCUAAAUAUAAGUAUUUUGUUAAGUGAUUUUUGGUAAUUUUAAUGUUUAGCGACUUAUUUGUGAAAAUAGUAAACUUUCAUGUAAACAUUGUGAAAUGGUGAUAAAUAUGGGCUGUAAUGGAUCCCUAUGAAAAUCGACUAGCAUGAAUUUUAGUUAAUUGUGGUUAAAUUGCAAGUUUCAGGUUUAUAGACUAAAUUGCAUAAAGAUAAAAUGUUGGGGUAAUUUUGUAAAAUGAUGAUGGAUUGACUUAAUUGUAUAAAAUGGCUUAUUUGAGUGUUGGAAUGGUAUUAAUUGAAUGAAAUUAUUAUUUAGAUUAAGAAACAAACCAAUCGGAUUUAGAUCAAAGAAAAACUAAAGUUUUGGACUAGUCGUCGAAUCUGUUUUUGCAACCGUUUUGGUUUAGGUAAGUUCGUAAGUUAAUUUAGUAGUGAAUUAAUUGAUGUUUUGUAAUUCAAUGAUUAUCUAUAUAUAAUUGGUUCAUCAAAUUCCUUGGAUUGAGAAACGAGAAAGACCAUAAUUGAAAGGUAUCACGAUAUUUAAACCGAAAUAAUAAGACCAUAGUUGAAAGAUAUUAUGGCACUAAACCAAAAAUGUGUAAGACCAUAGUUGAAAGAUACUAUGGCAUUAAAGUCAAUAUGAACAAGACCAUAGUUGAAAGAUAUUAGGGCAUUACAUCGGUAACGAUCAAAACCAUAGUUGAAAGAUACUAUGGCACUAUUUUGGGAAUGCAUAAGACCAUGGUUGGAAGAUACCAUGGCAUCCUUUGGAAUAAUGAAUUAUUCGGAAAGGUACACCAUUGGAGUGAAUACUUCACUGAACUAUCGAGGUUUGUUGUACGAAAAUGAAUCAAAUGAUCAUAUAGAUGAUUUAUGACUUAAUGCAUAAUUAAGUUAAAUAAUCUUGAUUUAGCAAAUUAUGUUACAUUCUAUAUAAGCUUCCUAAGCAUAAUUUGCUUACGUUGUCUGUAUUUUUCUAUUGUAGAUCUUGAAAAGCUUUGAUAGUUGGAAGAUCGAGUCGGAGCACACACACUAUCCGUUCAUCAUCUCGGUAAAUGUUUUGAUAUUUUGAUGUAGGUUAUAAAUGGCAUGUACUAGGAAUUUUUAAGCUAUUUUUGUCAAUGUGAUGAUGUUUUAACCUUCUUUUAGCUACUUGUACAUAUAUGGCUUGGUUUUGGUUCAAAGUUGUAUAAAAGAUGGUGUUUUGGCAUCUUAAUUUCAUCUACUUAUAAAUGGUUAUAAUAUGUUUAUGGUAGACAUAAAUGGUAAGAAUGAAUGAUAAGUUUGGUAUGUGUUUAUGGUUGAAUAUUAUGGUUUGAAUGCAAAGUAGCUUGGUGUGAUAUAUGAAUUUGAUUUGGAAAUUGAAUUGUGGUGUCAAUUAGGGCACAUUGGUUAAGCAACUAGGUUGGAUUUUUGGUAUAUUAUAAGUUUGUUUGAAUUAGUUUUGAAGGCAUGAAAAUGGUUGUUUUUUGUUGUGGCUUCGUAUCUAAGAAAUGGUAUUGUUUUGGCUUAUUUUGGAAGACAUAUUUGGUGCACACGGCCUGGGACAUGGGUUGUCACACACCUAUGUGUCUUAUUGAUUUUCAAGUGCAGGUUGGUCCACACAGUCACAGAGAGUUACAUGGCCUAGCGACACAGUCGCGUGACCUUAUUUCGAAUGCACACACGAUCUAGCACAUAGUCUACGACAUGACUGUGUAAAGCUAUUUUGAAUACCCAUACGGGCGGGCACACGAGUUGGGACAUGACCGUGUGUCCCAUAGUUCAAAUGUUAUACGGCUGGCCACACGACUAUGUUUUGAAUUCGUGGUUUUGCCACAUGGUCGUGUGACCCUGUUUCUAAUUUUUUUCAAAAUUUUCUAUUUUAUUUCAAAUUAGUCCCUAAUUGUUCCCAAACUAUUUUUAAGGCCCUAUAGGUGGAAUGGAAUGGAAUGUUAAUGUUUUAAAUUGGUAAAUUGUUUCUAUUUGAUGUUAAUUGUUUUGAUUUGUACGAUAAUACUCUAUAACCCUAAUCCGAUGAAGAAAGCGGAUUAGGGGUGUUGCACAUUUUUACAAAGUCGUUUGGUAAACUUCAAUUUGAAUAUCUUCUCAGCAAGCUGGGCAAUUAUGAUUUGCAUGCUCUAACUUGAGGGGGUGUUAGGGUAUUAUUAUGGGAUACUAUCUUUUAACAAUUUGAUUCCUAAUAAGAUGUUAUAUAAUAUUAUUAUGUGAUAUUAUCUCUUAGCAAUUUGAUUCCUAAUGGGAUAUUAUAUGAUAUAUUAUCUUUUAGCAAUUUGAUUCCUACGUAACUACUACUGUAUAGAUAUAUAUAUACCCUUGAGGUCUAUCAAUAAAAUUCAAGAGAUUACCUUAUUCUUAUCAAACUCCAAUAAGAACAUUAUAAGAGAGAAGUCUUUUGCUUGUCAACUUGUUACCAUGUUGGUUCUUUUUCAUGGCUCUACUAGACCACUUCUUAUUGGUGAAAGCUUGAACUCUGCACCUGUUACUAAUAAUGCAGCUACGGUUGUUACUUAGCCCUUUCUUCCCUAAUUGAGAGCAAUAAUGAUCUGGGGUUUUUCUUUGCAAAUAUAUCCCAUAAUCCAAAUCAUGCAGUGGUUGAAGUUGAUGAACCAACUCAGAAAACUUUGGAACUUCCAAGCAAUCAACCUUUUGUGCCUAUGCUAUUAGAGAACACCAGUUUACCUAAAGAUGCAGACAAUAAUAUCCAUUCAUCCAAUCAUGAUAGUGGUACAAAACAUAAAAGAGAUGUACACGAGAGUGAUAAACAUGCAAAUUCUGAAGAUUGAAGUCCAAAUGUCUGCAAUGGCUAUUAGAAGUGGAUCAAGAUGGACCUAUAGUGACUCUAUGAUAAGGGCUUAAAAGGGUUGGCACGUUAGGAUUUUGUGUCAUUAUUCCAAUGAUUUCGUCAUUAUACUUGUCAAUUUUCAAAUAGAUUGAUUUAAAUAAAAUUUUAUAAUUAAAUUAUUAUAUUUAUAUUUUGUCCUUAAUGAAUUUUGCAUAAAAAACAAAAUGAAUUAAUAAAUAUCAGUUUAUUGAUUACCUAAGUUUAAAUUAAUAUUAGGUUGUAUUAUAGGGAUAAAUUAUAAUGCCAAAAAUAAAACUUAUAUUUGUAGGUAAUUUAAGUUGUUUGUAAUUUAAGGAAUCAAAACGAGUAAUUGUGUAACAUCUUGAAAUUUGGGGUUAGAAGUUUUGAGGAUUAUGGUUAGGGUAAGUGAUAGGUUGAGCAAUUGUGUUUAUUUUCGUGUUUUAACGUAAGAAUGAGUCUAUUGGUUUGGUGGUUGAGUGUGUUGCUAGUUUGCCUUGGUCUUGUGUUUGAAUCCCGAUGUGAGAAAUUAGAGAAUUUUAUUUUUGGGGUUUUUUAGUAUUAAAUUAACUUUAUUUAUUCUCUUAAUUAGAUUUUUUUUAUUUUUACUUUCUUUCACAUUAUCCUAUUUUUCCUCUCUUUCUUUCACACGUUGGUUUUUUUUUUUGUUUCUCUUAUGUCAGUAUCAUUUUUUUUCUUUUUUCUUCUUUUGGCUAUUAUGCUUUCCUUUGUAUCCUAGUGGUCGUGCAUUAAAGUUUUGCUUUUGGUCUUUCAAUAGAGGAAUUGCAUGAUUAGUUUGUUUAAAUGCUGAAUCAUGUAAGUAGGGGUGAGCAAAACUCGAUUCGACUCGAAAAAAUCGAAAAUAAUUCGAAUUUCGAGUUAAACGAAUCGAGUUAAUCGAGUUAUUCGAAUCAACUCGAAUAUUUUUUUUGAAUUUCGAGUUCGAAUCGAGUUGAGUUUUCGAAUUCGAAUAACUCGAAUAAUUCGAAUAAUUCGAAUAUCAACUAUAAUAUUUUACAUUUUUACCCCAAACUCCCAAAACUUUUUACUUUUCCCUCAAAACUUUUACUCCUUCCCAUUUUCCCCCCAAAACUUUUACUCCCCUUCCCUCCUAACCCCCCAAUCUACCCAAAAUCCAUUUCCCACCAAAAUUUUACUCUCCCAUUUAUUUUUUCUCAAAAUUUUACUCCCAAAAACCCUCAAAACCUUUUAUUUUCCCCAAAAAUUUUUAGUCUCCCCCACUUUUCCCCUAAAACUUUUAUUCCCUUCCCAUCCCACCUCCCAUCUAUCCCAAACCCUCCCCCCUCCAUUUUUUUUAAUAUUUUCCCUCCAAAAUUUUACUCCCCUCUAUUUAUUUUCCCUCAAACUUUUAUUCCUCAACACUUUUUAUUUUUCCCCUAAACUUUUACUUCUCACCCUUUACUCUCAAAUAAAAAAUCAAAAUUAUCCAAAAAAAAAUCACUAAACAUAAAUAGUAAUAAUUUUAUUUAUAUCUACUAUUUAUAUUAUUAAAUUAAAUUUCACAUUUUAUAUUAUUUAUAUUAUUGAAUUGUUUAGUCAUAUUGAAUAUUUAUAUUAAAAUUGAAUUAUUAAUUAUGCCAUAAAAUAUUCGUGUUAAAAUUUUACAUUGGUAUCAAUUUUACAUUUUAUUUUUAAAAUAAAUUUUAUUAAAAAAAUCAUAUUUUUACAUUUAAUAUAUUUUUUAAUUCUAAAAUACAUAGUGACAAGAAUCUGAAGAUAAUUGAAACAACUAAGCAAGCAAAGAAGCUAACCAAUAUAUAAAAAAUUAAUAAAUAAAUUAUGAAGUGAUGAAAGUUACUAAAAAAUUUGAUUAAGGUGGACAAAUUUUAUUACGAUGGGUGACAAUGGUUACAAGGACCCAAAAUUAUUUUUUAAAAUUUAACUCGAACAAAUAUAUUCGAUUCGAUUCGAUUCGAAUUCCAUCUCACUCGACUCGAUUCAAGAAAACUUCAAAUAAAGUUAGGACGAUAAAAUGAGAUUCGAAGACUCGAUUAACUCGAAAAUUUUUGAUUCGAUUCGAUUCGAUUCGAUCGAAUGCUCACCCCUACAUGUAAGUGUUUUCGAAUUUUAAUUUGGAUUCUUGAUUCUUUAUUUGUUGAUAAAGCUUUUAAAGUAGUUGUGUAUUUCGAAAUUGAGUUUCAAAUUGGUUGAGUUCAGUCAAAUCGACUGGUUUCCGAUUUUAGAAUUGCGUUCUAAAGUGUAUUUCUGAACUAUAUUGUUUGUGGGUCAAUUUAUUGGUCGAAAUUCUCUUUUUUAGAUUGUUUCGGUAUGGUUUGGUAACCACACGGGUGACCACACGGGCGUGUGCUACACACAUGAGAUUCACACGGUCGUGUGAUUUUGGGAAUUAGGGUUUUUAGAUGAUUUUUGGUGACACACGGUCGUGUAGUUGAUAUUUGGGGAUUAUUAUCGAUUUGCACACGGGCGUAUAAGAUUUCCACACAGCCGUGUCUACCCUGCACCUUAUUUUGCUAAUUUUGGACAGUGAGUUACACGAGCUGUUCACACGGCCAUGUAACUUGGUCACACAGGCAUGUGUCUCCUUCACACGAGCGUGUAGACCCCCGUAUGACCUAGGCCCUUCCAACGGCCGUGUGACCCUGUUUCGCAAAUUUUUAUUCUGUGUCGUAUUUUGAACCAUUCUAGUUCUUAUGUAGUCCAACGUUCAUUGAUGCCUCUAUAAAUGUGUUGGGAUUCUAUUUUUCGCUUAGAUUCGAGUGUGUGUUUGCAAAUAUAGGAUUUAAGUUAAUUGUUUGUUCAUGUGUUUAGAUGAUGUGAUAAAUGAAUUAAGGUAUUUUUUAUAUCGUAAAACUAGUAAAACCGAUUCUGAAAUUGACUGACUGAAUAUGAGCUUCUGUAUCUUUGAGUCUGUUAGUGUUUGGUGUGCAUUCAUACAUUUGUAUAAAAUUGGGGGUUUUUGGUUGCGAAGAGAAGGAAUAUUGAUUUGGGCAAUUUUAACUGCAAUAUUUAUGUACAGCGAUUUAUUGCACUAUACUAUCCGUAUACCAGCUCAGUUGUAUACUUUUACUCGAGUGACUUAGUUCCACUAUAUGUGAUGUGUAGGUUGGAUGAAUCUAUUAUGGUUCUAUGUGGUGUGUAGGGUGGACGGGCCUUCUGUAUCCUUUAUAUGGUGUGCAGGGUAGACGAAGAGAUGUUUAGUUGGUUGGGUAGUUGUAAAUUAAUGUGAAUAGUCUGACGUGUAAAAUAUGCCAUUAUGGUGUGUGUGUAUGAUUACUAGAAAUUACUCGUAAGAUGGAGUACUGAUACUUGUUGUUCGUUCACUGUUUGUGUGCACAUAUUAAAUAUUCAUUUUGAUUCUUUGCCUGUUGCUUUUGUUUAUAAUUUCAGACUCACACUGAGCUCAUGUAGCUCAUUCCUUAGUUUCCUCUCUUUCAAAUAAAUUUUGUGUUAGAAGUUGGACUCGACAGCAGAAGGUUUCAAAAAGUUUGGUUUGAUUCGGUUUAGUUAAAACUUUUAUAAGUCUAUAUGAUUGGUUUUAAGAUUUUUUGUAAAGUGAUUAUAUAAAUUGUGGUAUGGGUUAAGGUUUGAACUUUGCGUUAAGCUACGUGAUUUCGAUUUUGAACAACAUAUUUUUCGCACAAUUUCUAAUUUGAAACUUCGAGAUACAUUUGGGAACAUUGAUGCAUUUUUGAAACUGUACAACAAGAAAUUCCUAAAUGUUUUAACACCACUUAAUUGUGGUUUUGAACCAUAAAUUGUUAAACGAUUAGUACGAUUUUAGCAAACUGUAUUCGAAAUGAGUUCUAAACAUUUCUUUUUAUAAAUUGCUUUUGGAUCACUUCGAUGGUCAAUGUAACCUCCGAGAUUCGAUCAAAACUUCUGAGCAAGUUUUAGGGUGUUACAAAUUGAUUCGUGAGACAAUUAUUUUGUCUAUUAAGUCCAAUUGGAGAGACACCUUAUUUUAAGUAUCAGAGCAAAUGAGAUAUGAUUAUUCAAAUUGAAAAUAUAUUUGGACAUGACUCAAGUUGAAUUUAUCCUAAAUACGUUUAUGAAUUUAUUCACUUAUGAUGAUCAUGGUGUGACUUACGUCAUUUUUGAGUCAGUAAAUAACAAUAUGUACCUAACUCAUAUACUUUGAUAUACUGAAAGCUUGUAUUCCAUUGGUCUUGGAGUCGAAAGUUGGUAUGUUGAAUAUGUGAUUUAUGUAUGACAUGAUUUCGCUCACAAUAGUAAAAUUCAUAGCUCAGAGAAAGAGUAAAUAGUAUCAUCUCACCAACAUUACAUGGAUUAUGAAAAAAGAACAUGUCCCUAUAUUGUUCAUCAAGGAUAAAUUAUUGUUAUUACUUUUUGUUAGUAAUAAUAUUUUUCAUUAUGAAAAAUGCAAUGGUAAUCAUAUUGGGCAAACAAAUUUAACCCAAAGAUAUUAAGUAUAUUACACUAAUGACAAGGUAUUGGAGAAAAACAUAAAUCUAAGUUGUUUUUGUAAUGGUAUAUAAUGAGAGAUUAGUCAAGGUGCUUUUGGAUUGACUUCAUGACUAAAUAAUGUUAUAACUAAUAAAUGAAGAGUCGAAACUUGAUUACAAAUUAUUUAAAAUCUAAUUAUAUAUGUUUCAUAGAUCCUUUCGUUAGCUCAAUACAACUCUGUAUGGAAUGCAAUUUAAAACUGUUAUGAUAAAUGAAUGAAAACGAUGAAUGAGAAAUAGAUUUCAUGAAUUACAAUUCACAAGAUAUUCAUUUUCUCAAUAGGAACAAAAGAUGACUUAAAAAUUAAUUAAUAUCUUUGGAUUAUUAUUUACUUGAAUGUAAUUAAAUAAUUGAGUUCAAAGCGAGAAUUAAAUUAUUUACUCAUCAUAGUUUUACUAAAUAGGUCAAUUAAAAUUUUUUGGCUAAAGGGGUAUAUAGGCCCUUAAACUUUCGCGAAAAAAUCAAUUAAGCUCUUCCACGAAAAAUGCUCUCAAUUAAGCCCUCAAGCUCUCAAAUUGCAUCAACUUUUUACCAAUAUUUUUCGCCUUUGAUCAUUAUAGUGCUGAGAUGGUCAUUAACGGUGUUGACAUGGCACUGCAUGUCAGCAAUUGCUAAUGUGGCAAUACCACUUCAGCUGUCACAUUAGCAAAAAAUAAAAAAAAAAGUCAAAAUUUUUUUUUAAAAUAAAAAACUUGAAAGAAAAUUUUUUUUAUUGGAAUUGUCCAAAUUCAUUCAUUUUAGAACUUAACUUUAAAAUUUAAAAAUUAUUUUUUAAAUAAUAAAUUUGUAAAAACAUUAUUAAAAUUUAUAAAGAGUACUAAAUAAAAUUAAAAAAUUAAAUAUUAAUAAAAGUCAUUUAAAAGCUAAAGCCCGGAUGAAUAUGAACCUAUGGUUGUCCAAGUUCACAUUGAACCUGAACAACUGUAUGUCCAGAUUCAAUGUUAACUCCAUUUCCAAUCUAAUGCAUAAGCAAAACGGUGGUAUAAAAUCAACAUUACGCCUUGUAUAAUGCAUUGCCUUGAUAAUACAUGCACUGUCACACGUCACAUACAACUCUACCCUUAAAUGAAGGUCCAAUUUAGAGAAGUAACACCAUAUUGAUCCAAGAUGAUGCUCGGGUGCUUAAAGCGAAGUAUUAUCCUCAAUCAGAUUUUAUGCAAGCAAAUUUAAAGCAUGGUGCUUCGUACACUUGGACAAGCAUUUGGUCAGCUCAAAAAGUGUUAGAAGACGGGGUGUGUUGGCGAGUUCGAUGGGGUGAUAAAGUUUCAAUUUGUAAUCAUGCUUGGUUACCGAGUUUGAUUAAUUAUAAAUUAAGCAACGCAGUUCGAAACCUUGAUGUUUCUAUAUUUGCCGAUCUAAUUAAGAGAACUUUUAGUGAGUGGAAAAGAGAGAUUAUUACCAAUACCUUUGCAGAUGUUGAUGUGGCCAGGAUACUUCUAAUCCCGCUGGCAGCGAAUCCUCAGCAGGACGUGAUGGUGUAGGGAGGUGAGUCCUCAGGAGAGUUCUCCGUUAGGAGUGCUUACAAAUUUUUACAGACAAGUAUUCCUAUUCCUAUCCUAGAUGAAUUACAAAAUGCAUCUAGAGAAUUUUACAAGCAACUUUGGGGCUUAAACCUACCAUCUAAAAUCAAGAUUACAAUAUGGCGUAUUUCAAAAAAUUCUUCCCUAUGCUAUCAAAUAUGCAUAACAAAAGACUAGUUGCCGAUAUGAUGUGUCCAAGAUGUGGGGAGGGUGCUGAAACUAUGAAUCAUGUUUUUAGGAGUUGUCCUGUUACAAAGGUGAUAUGGGUGUUAGUUGGUUUUCCUGGGAUCUUAUUAAAUUCAAUACAGGACAUGUUCGAGUAGUUUACUUGGGUUUUCAACAACUGCUCAGUACUUCAACGCGUAUCAUUCUAUUGUGGUCUGUGGGUCUUGUGGACUGCAAGAAACAAAUUUAUGCAUGAACAUUGUGCUAAAUUGGCGGUUGACACAUCAAGGUUCAUUCAAUGAUACAUUAAAGAAAUAGAAGGCGUCAAGGAAAAGGAGGUUACCAGGAAGGUGAUCUAUGCAAAAUGGAAGCCCCCUUCAGGAAUAUGCAUCAAACUUAAUUUUGACGCAGCCUUUGAUAAGGAUUUUUUUCAAAUCUGGGACGGGGAUUGUAGCCAAAAAUGCGCAAGGGCAGGUGAUUGCAUCACGUUUAAUACUCCACUCAAACGUGGGCUCAGCAUUUGUAGCAGAAGCCCUCGCAUGUUCAUGGGCAGUUAAAACGGGGUUAGAGUUGGGGGUUACAGAAGCAAUUAUCGAAGGCGAUUCUCUAACGAUUAUCAAGAACUGCAAUAAUAUGUCCCCAGAUAAGCCUGAAAUAAGAGCUCACAUCCAGAAUAUACAGUAUCACAGUAGCAGAUUUCUCUCCAUACAGUUUAAACAUGCAAAUCGUGAAGCUAAUCAACUGGCACACAGAUUAACAGUUGAAAGUUUGAGAAAUGGAGAGGAGUUUUACCUGGAAGGAGCGGUCCCGGGCUUCGCAAGGAGAACGAUGGAGGAAGAGUGGAUUCGUGAACCAGAUUGAAGGAAUAAUGGGGAAGUGUCUUGAUCCCUAAGGAGCAGAAAUGAGAAAAAUCAUUUCUGUGAAAAUAGGAUUCCCGAGGAAUGGGGUGACUUUUGUUUAUUUUUUAAAAUCUAUUUUAUUUUCUUUUAAUGUUUAAAUUAUUUUGCUCUGAGCCGGUGAGUGCUAAGGCUCCUAAAGGAGAAAGAAAUACACCAAACAAAUUUUAUAAUUUAAAUUCAACGCUUAGUUUUUUAAUUUAUCAAAUAACAUCUUAUUGUUAAUAAGAUUUCAUUUUAGUUUGCGGCAAAAUCUCGAUAAUAUUGAAUACAAGGAAGUUGCAAGAAAUUGUCUGCACCCAUAUAUACAUAUAUAUUUCAAUUCAAAUAGCAAUAUUAAAAUCAUUACAUUUGAAAUAAUAUUAAAAUAUUAAAUUUUAUAAUAUUGCUAAAAUAAAAAAUAUAUAUAAUUUUUUCAACGAAACAAUAAAAGUAAUUUAUAUUGAAUUAUCAAAACUUUUUGUUGAAGAAUAUUUCUAUAUUUAACUCCCUUUAUAAUAAUCGUACUUGCUUACCAAAAUUUUGUUAGAAAAAGAUACUAUUUUACGCCUAUAACAAUAUUUGGUGUUUUGGUUAUUGAUUUUCUAAUUUUCACAUUAAAAAUUAUAAUAUAUUAAUAAUAUUAAGCAAUGAGAUUUAGAUGAUAUAUUUAAUAAAAUUUAAAAUGUAAUUUCAUUUAUUAAUAUUAUUUUAAUUCUCAAAAAUAUUUUUUAUUAAUAAAAUGUCAUUAAUAUAUAUUUUUGUAAAAAAAACAAUUUAUUGAAAUAACAUUUUAAUUAAAUUUUAUUAUUUUUUAAAUAAAAUAAAUUUUACUAAAAUUUGAGAAAAUAAACUAUUAUAGAAGUAUCAUCCUCUAAGUAGCCUAGUGGAGGUAUUGUACUCAGGGUGUCUAUGCUCAAUUUUAGCCCCGAGUUUUUGUCUUCCUACUACAGAUAAAGGCCGAACAAGUUCAUUGAGUUUCAACCGAAGCACCUAGGUUCAUCAAUGAAAUGUUUUAUCACUAGUGUUCUUACCUUCUAAAACCCUUUAAGGGCUUGGGUUCAAACCUUAUCAAGGCCAAAAUGAUAAAAUAGUUCUUUGGUAGACUUUAGGAGUUCUCCAUAAACUCCUUUAGGCUCUCCUCGAAGUUGGGCUAAAACUGAGUAUAUAGACACCUAGGGAACAAUGCUAAUUGUUCGAGGUUUAGAUUGACUGCUCAAAAGAUUACACUUCAAAAACUUAUUCCAAUAAGAGAGUCGAGUCCCUCCAAUAAUAGCUAACUAUAUUUUUGAAUAAGCAAUUUUUUAAGCGAAUCUAUACUAUUAUGCUUUUUUUGUAAUUCUUAACAAUAAUGACUAAAUUAUCAAUAAAUGCCAUUUUUUUAAAAAAAAUUUAUCAUAUUAGGUCAUUUUUUUGGAAGAACUACAAGAAUAGGUCGAUUUACAGAAGGUGAAAUUCAGAAAAAGGUCUAAGUGGAAGCGUUUUCAAGUGAUUUACAGAAAAACACUUUCAGCUGGCAGCACUUUCAGCCACAUCAGCACUAAAAGUGGCAACACCAAUGUUUUUUUUUUUUAAUUUUCUGGUGCCACCUAGUAAUGUGGAAACGAAACUUACAAAAUAGGUCUUUAUAUAGAUCCCAAGUCUCAUUUCCCUUGUUUUCUUAAUGUGGGAUGUGGGAUAUGGGUAUAUAUAGACUCAUAAUCCAUUUGCAGCUUGUUUGUAGACAAUGUGAAAUUGCUUAAUCUUUCAACUAACAAUAUAAUAUUAAAGACUAUACUUAAUUUUUAAUUUAGAUUAAAGGCUAUACUUAAUUUUUAAUUUAGAUUAAAGACUAUACUUAAUUUUUAAAAAUUAAAGGUAAAAUUUUAUAUAACAUUAAACUCUAACAAAACAAAACAUUAUAAACUCUUAUACAAAUAUUAUCGUUAAAAGACAAUCCAAUAAAAAAAAAUCUAGAUGCGUUUUUUUUAAUUUCACCUAAAAACACUUUCGUAAAAUUGGCCUAUUUUCAUAAUCCUUCCAAAAAAAGGUCUAAUAUGAUAAAAUUUAAAAUAUUUUGACAUUUAUUAGUAAUUUAAUCCAAUAAUAAUUAAUUUUAAUUUUAAUUUCAAUUAUAUAAAAAUAGUUUAAUUUCAAUUGGGAGCGUAUAUAUACUACUACAUAUUUAUGUGAGAUUUAAAAUUUAUGGUGAAAAAAAUGAAGUAAAGGUUAUAUAUUUUAAUAAAAUAAUUAAUUAAAUAAAAGAACACUUAAAGUAAAUAGAGAAUUUUUUCGUCUCCUCUUUUCAUUUAUAAAAGAGCUAUAUAUAAGCCAUUGAUAUUCAAUGCAACAUAAACGAAUGAAGCUUAUUUGACAACUUCAUUAACUCAUACAUUAAGCAUCUUUAAUAAUGAAUGAGGGGUUUUAACUCAUUACUUUCAUAAAUGUUUAAAGGUUAUAGACAUCCAUUUAAUGUAUUUACAACACUCCCUAUUGGAUGUCCUUUAAAUAAAAAUGUGUCCCAUUAAAACCUUUAUUAGGAAAAACCCUGUGGGAUAAAAAUCUAAUGAAGGAAAAAGAGUACACAAUCUCCUGUUACAAGUUGCCUUGUUAAAAACCUUUACCAGGAAAACCCAAUAGGACAAAACCUUGGUUAAAGGAAAAGAGUACAAUGUGUUUUAGACUCCCUAUAAUGGCAACAUCACAUUAUGUCUUUGAGUCGACGCAUUCCAAUAUUGUUUCGUAGUCUUUUAAAUGUUGAAGUUGGCAAUGCCUUGGUAAAAAGAUCUUUUAAAUUAUCACUAGAACGAAUUUGUUGAACUUCUAUGUCACCUUUCUUCUUAAGAUCAUGAGUGAAGAAUAAUUUUGGUGAAAUAUAUUUCAUUCUUUCACAUUUGAUAUAACCACCCUUUAAUUGAGUUAUACAUGCUGCAUUAUCUUCAUAUAAGAUAGUUGACAUAUUUUCCUAUAAAGGCAAAUUGCAUAUCUUCUGGAUAUGUUGGGUUAAUAACCUUAGCCAAACACAUUCUAGACUUGCCUCAUGCAUUGAAAUUUUUUUAGCAUGAUUUCAAGAGGUAGCAUCUAAUGUCUGCUUUGUCGAACGCCAUGAUAUGGCAGUACCUCUACAUGUAAAUAAAUAUCUCGUUUGAGAUCGACCUUUAUGUGGAUCUGAUAAAUAUCCAACAUCAGCAUAACCAACUAAUAGGGAUUUUGAAUUAUUUGAAUAAAAUAACCCCAUAUUAAUGGUCCCUCUGAGAUAUCUAAAUACGUGUUUAAUUAUAUUCUAAUGUCUACAUGUUGGAGAAGAACUAAAUCUUACUAACAAGUUUACAACAAAAGCUAUAUCAGGUCUUGUGUUGUUUGCAAGGUACAUCAAUACUCUAAUGACACUUAGAUAUGGUACUUCAGGACUAAGAAACUCUUCAUCAUUCUCACAAUGACGAAAUUGAUCUUUAUUCACAUCUAACGAUCAUACAACCAUUGGGGUACUUAAUGGAUGUGCUUUAUCCAUAUAAAAUUUCUUUAAGAUUUUUUUCGUAUAAGUUGAUUGAUGGGCAUAAAUUCCAUCUUUUAAAUGCUCGAUCUGCAGGCCAAGAUAAAACUUUGUUUUUUCAAGAUCUUUCAUAUCAAAUUCUUUCUUUAAAUAAUUUAUUGCAUUUUGAAACUCUUCAAGAGUUUCAAUAAUAUUUAGAUCAUCAGCAUAAAUAGCAAUUAUCACAAAGUUUGAUCCAUACCUUUUUAUAAAAACACAUGGGCAAAUUGGAUCGUUUUUGUAAUCUUCUUUUAACAAAUAUUCACUAAGACAAUUAUACCACAUACAUCCAAAUUGUUUUAAUCCAUAUAAACUUUUCCUUAAUCUGUUUGAGCAAUUUUCCCUAAAAACUCUAUAUCCUUCAGGGAUUUUAAAUCCUUCUGGGAUUUUCAUAUAAAUUUCACUAUCAAGUGUACCAUACAAAUAAGCUGUAACAACAUCCAUUAGACGCAUGUCAAGUUUUUCACUUACCGCCAGACUAAUAAGGUAUUUAAACGUGAUUGCAUCCACUACAAUAGAAUAUGUCUCUUCAUAAUCAAUAACAGGCCUUUGCGAAAAUCCUUGUGCUACAAGUCGUACUUUAUAUGUUACAAAUUCAUUUUUCUAAUUUCGUUUUCUCACAAAUGUUCAUUUAUAUCCUACCGGUUUUACAUAUUUAGGUGUUUGGACUAUAGGUCCAAAAACCUCACGUUUAGAAAGUGAAUUUAAUUUUGCUUGAAUUGCGUCUUUCCAUUUUGGCUAAUCUUUUCUAUUUCUACAUUCCUCAAUAGAUUUAGGCUCAAGAUCCUCAUUUUCUUUUACUAUUUCAAUAGCAACAUUAUAAGCAAAAUUAUUGUCGACAAUUAUAUUUUUCGGUUCUAUUUUUUUCUUGAAGUAAUAUAACUUAUUGAGAUUUCUUUGUUAUCACCAUUUUCAGGUACCUAAACCUCUUCUGGGUUUUUUAUUAGUUAUAUUAUUGGCCUCUUCUUGGGCACUUGUCUCCACAAUAUUACCAUCUUGAAUAAUUUCUCCUUUCAUUUUACGAGGAUUUUUAUCUUUGGAACUAAUUGGCUUUCCAAGCUUCAGGCAUGGAUUACUUUCUUUUACACUAACAAUUUUCCUUAUUGGGAUAUCAAUUUGUAUUGGAGUAUUUUCAGCUGGUAUGUGAGAUUUUGUAAUUCUCUUUAGGCCAGUAAAUGAAUCUGGCAGUUGAUUGGCAAUGUUUUGCAAAUGUAUGCUCCUUUGAACUUCUUGUUCACAUUGACUUGUGCAAGGAUCUAAUUGAGAUAAUGAUGAUCCAUUCCAUAUAAUUUCUUUUACCAAAUGCAUUUUCUCUCCCCCUAAUGUUGGGGAUGUUGUUUCAUCAAAAUGACAAUCAAUAAAUUGUGUAGUAAAUAAAUCUCCAAUUAAUGGUUCAACAUAUUUAAUUAUAGAAGGAGAUUCAUAACCAACAUAUAUUCCCAACCUUCUUUGAGAACCUAUCUUUGUGCAUUGUGGUAGAGCAAUUGGAACAUAUACUGCACAUCUAAAAAUUCUAAGAUGGGAAAUAUUUGGCUUCUGACCAAAAGCCAAUUGUAAUGGGGAGUACUUAUUAUAACUUGUUGGUCUUAAGCGCAUAAGUGCUGCUGCAUGCAAAAUAGCAUAUCCCCAAGCUGUAACAGGGAAAUUUGUUCUCAUGAGCAAUGGCCGAGCUAUUAGUUGGAGGCGUUUGAUAAACGAUUCAGCUAAAUCGUUUUGUGUGUGAACAUAAGCUACAGGAUGUUCAACUUUUAUCCUAAUUGACAUACAAUAGUCAUUAAAAGCUUGGGGUAUAAACUCACCAGCAUUAUCAAGACGAAUAGUUUUGAUUGCAUAAUUUGGAAAUUGUGCUCUUAAUCUAAUUAUUUAAGUAAGUAGUCUCGUAAACGCUAGGUUACGAGUCGAUAAUAAACACACAUAUGACCACCUACUAGAUGCAUCUAUUAAUACCAUAAAAUAUCUGAAUGGUCCAUAUGGUGGAUGAAUGGGCCCUCAUAUAUCACCUUGAAUACGUUCUAGAAAUGCGGGAGAUUUAAUCCCAACUUUAGCUGGUGAUGGUCUAAUAAUCAAUUUUUCUUAAGAACAAGCAACACAAGAUAAAUCUUUGAAUUCAAGAAUCUUUUGGUUCUUUAAUGGGUGUCCAAUUGAAUUCUCAAUGAUUCUUCGCAUAAUAAUAGAUCCGGGAUGGCCUAAUCGGUCAUGCCAAAUAGUUAAAAAAUGUGGUUUUACAAACUUCUGGUUUGUAGUAAUAUGUGACUCAAUUGCACUAAUAUGUGUAUAAUAUAAACCCGAUGAAAAAAU
Molecule: long non-coding RNA, 50661 nt
Filed under: Gossypium barbadense (sea-island cotton)
Lineage: Eukaryota; Viridiplantae; Streptophyta; Magnoliopsida; Malvales; Malvaceae
Description: long non-coding RNA (GBAR_LNC017966)
Source: RNAcentral